RNAcentral lists this long non-coding RNA (56385 nucleotides) under Olea europaea (common olive). RNAcentral describes it as "long non-coding RNA (OEUR_LNC002031)". Lineage: Eukaryota; Viridiplantae; Streptophyta; Magnoliopsida; Lamiales; Oleaceae. The record is from RNAcentral.
GGCCGUCAACAGAUGAGAAAAAUGUAAUAGCCUGCUCAGCAUUAGAUUAACAAGUUUUGUGUUGUGUUACUUUUAUGCAGUUUGAGCAAAAAAUAAUGGCAGUUGAAUGUUACAUAAAAGAGAAAGGAGCUUCAAAAGAAGAUGCAUUUGCUGUAUUUCAAACACAAGUCAUGAAUGCAUGGAAGGAUAUAAAACAAGAAUCUAUCAAUUCAGAUGUAGUACCAAUGGCUGUUCUCGUACAAGUAGUCAAUCUUGCACGUGUCAUCAAUCUUAUAUACAAAGACGGUGAUGGAGACACAAAUUCUAAAACAAAGUUGAAAGAUUUCAUAACAGCGAUACUCAUUCAACCAGUGACAAUAUCCAAAUGAGCAUAGUAGUGGUGCAGGUGACUUCCAUUUUAAUGUACCACCUCAUUGUCAUCCAUAUUUAGUGCUGUGUUGUCAAAUUCUACAACAUAAUUAGGUCUUGGUUAAGGUUAUUCAAACAUUGAGUUUCCUCGUAUCUAAAUGUGUCAAUAAUUGAACUAUAUAUCUACUAGAAAGCCCUUGGAGUAGCUAAAAAUUUGUAUUUGUUUUGUCCAAUGCUCUAAAUAAUGAUAUUAAUAUUUAAAGUUUAUGUAGAACAAUUAGAAUUGAAAGCUUUGUUAUAAUUCAUUGAUAUUCACAGGGACGGAUCCUCCAAGACCGGGGCUACAACGUGAAAAAAAAAAAAAUUACACAUAAAAAACUGAUUUUUACCAAAAAAUAAAUAAAAAGUACCUUUAAAAAAAAGUUGUUGGGCCUGGGGGGGGGGGGGGCUACAACCCUGCCCUGCCCCCCCCCCCCCCNNNNNNNNNNNNNNNNNNNNNNNNNNNNNNNNNNNNNNNNNNNNNNNNNNNNNNNNNNNNNNNNNNNNNNNNNNNNNNNNNNNNNNNNNNNNNNNNNNNNNNNNNNNNNNNNNNNNNNNNNNNNNNNNNNNNNNNNNNNNNNNNNNNNNNNNNNNNNNNNNNNNNNNNNNNNNNNNNNNNNNNNNNNCCCCCCCCCCCCCCCCUCCAAAUCCAUCCCUGGAACUACUUAUGUACAAAAUAUAGGACACAUUAUAUAUGAAAAUACAUGAUUCUGGGAGCUGUAAAAGGCUAAAUCAAAUCUGUAAAUUGUAUGCUCUCUAUGCAGAUUUGAUGGAGAUUUCUCCAGCAAUAUGAGUAAUAUUGAUUUGCUUAAUUCUGGUGAUUGAUUGCUUAAUUUCCUUAGAUCCAAUAUUUAGGCAUUUAAUUACUACGAAAUUUGUAAUUUAAUGCACAACAAAUUUAUUUAAAGUCGCCGUCCUAAGCAAUUAGUAUUUUAUAGAACAAAAAUAUUCAAAAGCUUAAAAUUAAUAUAUUUGAAAAAAGAUUACAAAUUAGAAAAUUAUAGACAGACCUUGAAUAGUGACAAUUACAGAUACACCCUUUGCUUUGUGCUAUUUUGAAAUACUUAUUAAAUACAAUUACACAAUUUUUCCUUUAUUUCUUAAAAAUUCUUUUCAUAUUUUUUAUUAGUCUUAGUUAAAAGAAUAUCAUUAUAAAUUGUAAUAAUAUCUUAAAAGAUUUUAAAAUAUAAUUUAUUUUCUAAGAAUAUUAUAUGUCUUGCAAAUAUGACCGACAGCUAUUUUUAAAAAAUGAAAAUAAACACGUGUUAUAGUAUAAUUUAAUAAAGAAAAAAUAAUAAUUUUUAAAUAUUUUAUAUUUCUUCAUUUAGUAGCAUUUUCUAUAAUUUUUACUCAUUUAUUCUCUUAACAUUUAAAGUACAUUUAGAGUAUUAAACUAAAAUUCAGUACUAAAAAUCAGAUUUUCACCUACAUCCGUUGGUAAUUAGAAAUGGAUUAUCCGUUAGUAAAAGUUAUUACUUUCGCUACGAUAAUCAGUAACGAAUUUUCCGUUGGUAACAAUGAUAUCUUUUUACCAACGGAUAUUUUGUGCCUCAUAUAAUCAUUUAACAUUUGGAUCUUUCACCUAUGGAAUAUCUGUUGAUAACGUACUGAAUAUUACCAAUGGAUGCAAUCCGUUAGUAAUUAGAAAUUGAUUAACCGUUGGUAAAAAUAAUUUACUUUCAACUACGAUAAUCAGCAAUGAAUUUUUCAUUGGUAACGACGAUAUCUCUUUACCAGCAAAUAUUUCAUGCCUCAUAUAAUCGUUUAACAUUUGAAUCUUUCACCCACGGAUAUUUUGUUGGUAAUUAGAUACAGAUUAUUUGUUGGUAAAAGGAAUUCACUUAUCCUACAUUGAAAGUUCACAACAAAGUCUUUGGAAUUGCCCUCUAUAAAUUAAUUUGUGAUCCAGUUUUUGGUUAAACAAUCUUUUGGCCUUUCAAUUCGGUUGGCUAAAAGUUAAAAAAAUUAAAAUUAUUAAAUAAAUAAUAAUGACAAUAAAAAAAAAUUACCAUGCCUCACAUCUAUGCGGCUAUUUACAAAAUUGAUUUUUUUCCAAUUGUAAUUGUAGACAUUUACUAACGGAAAGUCAGUUGGUAUUGGUUAAGAUUUUUACCAACGGAAAUUUCAUUGGUAAAAGAUUCACACUUUACCAACGAAAAAUUCAUUGAUAAAAUGUUUAUUCUUUACUUACGGCAGAAUCCGUUGCUAACUAUCAGCGACCCUCAAAUUAGCAACGGAUUUGAGGUUGCAAAUAUUUUGUUGGUAAAGAGUAAUAGCAAUGGAUAUAUUCGUGCCGGAAGCCAUUUUUUUAAUAGUGAAUAUCGUAAUAAAGUUGGCAUCAAAGAUUUAGUAGUUUAUUUUUUUUAAGCCAGUAUUUUAGUUCUAUUUUUAAUUUAUUCAUUUUUAAAAUGAGAAAUUAAUUUUAAUUAGUGGUUUUUAUUACUUACUUUAACGAUAAGUAUAACUUUGUACUCAUUGAUCACGGCCAUAAGAAAAGGGACAUAUGCAAUGACUUUAAUUGAAUUGAUACUUAAUUUUUAUUGUAUAUAGAUUGAUUUAUGAGAAACUAGAUAUUGUAUUGCAUAUGAAGAAAUAGGGGCAGAAAUUGAAUGAUAAGGACUAAGAAUGAACAAAUUAUGGAAAAUGGGGACUAAGGUUUAAAUAUUUAAACGAUGAAGGACCAACAAUGUAAAUAGGAAGGGACUUGAGCUGAAUUAAUACAAAAAUUUAGUGACUAACUUGAAUCGGAAGCAAAAAAGAUGAAACUUGCAAUCGCAAGACUCUACCUACGCGAUCACUAGUUUCACCAACAAGUUCAAGAAUAUUAUCAUACGAUCGCAACAAAGAUUACCCUGCAAUCGUGUUGGUCACGAUCAUAUGGCUUUACAAGGUAGAAGAAAUUUUAUUCCUUUAUUUUAAUCAAGAUCGAUCUACAUUGAAUGGGAUUUUGGAGUACAAAUUUCACCUAAUUCUAGAGGCUACUAAGAGGAUUAUUCAUCUAGCAAAAGGGGAAGAUAGUUUUUGGGGUGACAUAAACAUAAUUCUGUACACUAACCAUCAAGAGCUUUGUUUCAAGCAAGAGAGAAAUGGGAUUUCUUGAGCACUCUAUUGAAGACAUUCAAAUAGACUAAAAUUAAUACUCAAAUUUCUUCUUGCAAUUACAUAUUCUGGGUUUGAAUUCUCAAUUUAUUAUGUAUUUUUUGUAAUUUAAAUGUGAUAGGCUAAAUCUUUAGUAAUUCUCAAAUUGUUUUGUCCAAUGUUCUGGAUACUGAUAUUAAUGUGUGGUCCGAAAUUUGAGACAUUAAUUUUGUCUUUAUGAUAGUUGGUCUGAAAAUGCAAUAUCCUCCACAUGGUCACAACAGCACUUGAAAGUUGGAUUUUUCUUAUUUAUUUAUUUUUAAAAACUUGAAUAAACUGAAAUAAAUCACCAUCAACACAAACUGCCAUUUUUAAAAAAUUGAAGAUUGAUACUGUUUCUCUAUUAAAAACACAGUUCAUUUUCUGAUCAAAUUCUAAGACUAAAAUUAGGUAUUUAUAUUCAAAACACAGUUCAUUUUCUAUCCAAAUUCUGAGACUAAAAGUAAAUUAAAAGAAUAUGGAAUGAAUAUUUAAAUUCCUCCAUCGACUUCUAACAUAAUUACCACAAAUGUGACAUUGGUGUUCUGUCACAUAUCAUUCAACCCUUUAAGUGUAUUUCCCUGCAUAUAAUUCUGACCUCACAGUAAAAUUAAUUAGUUCCCCUAUCUUGAAAUAAGGCAUUGCUCUAGAUCUAAUACUUAGGCAUUUAAUUAUCACAAACACUUUACUUUGAUGCACAACAAAUUUAUUUUCAACAUAUGGUUUUCUAGCAAACAGUAUUUUAUUAAACAAAGGGUAAUUGUCAAAAAAGUCCAUACCUUUUAAGUUUAUUGUGAAAAACGUCCCUAUUUUUCAUUUUUUGGCAUUUUUGCCCAUACUUUUCACAUUUUUUUGCGCUGGAUGUCCUUUUCAUCAAUUUCUAUCGUAAAAUGACUAAUAUACCAUCCUAUUUAAAUAAAACAACAAAAAGAAAGAAUAAAUUGCAACUAUAAGCCCAAACUUUUUGAAAAGUGCAAAUUAGUCCAAAUAAAUUAUUAAAAUAAAAAAAAAAAAUCUUUCUCAAUUCUCUUCACCUCCCCUUGCUUACGCCUCCUCCACCACCACCACCACCACCAUUGCCAUCUCCUAAACCACCGAAACUCACACCAUAAACUGUUGACAUCAACCCCAAACACUUAUGAUAAAAAUUGGAUACAAAUACUACUCAAUUAAAAUGGGAUCUAAACUCGUAUGCUUCAAACUGUCCCAAAUUAAAUCAAUUGCGUGAUUUGUACAAAAUUGUUGAAGACCCAGAGUUGUAAUAGCUUCACCAUGAUGAGAGAUUGCUGAAUAUGGUGGUCCGUGAUCAUGAUGUUCACCACUCACCAAAAUUUCGCCUAAAACCUGGGUGAUGAUUGCGUUCAAAAUGUUUGGCUUCAGAUGUUGAUUGGGUGGUUGAAUAGGUGUUUGGGGAUCAUGGUUUGAUUCAUCAUGAUGAGGGGAAUCUACCAAUAUGUUGGCUUGGGUUAGGAAUCGUCAAAAAGGAAGCUGUCAAUAGUUUUGGUUUGUGCGAUUGGCAAAUUUUGGAGAGAAAUUCCGGCCAAUUCACCUGGAGUUAGGGCCAACUAUACAACCUACGCAACAAUUGGCUUGAUUAAAAAGAUGGAUUGAUUAAAAAUUUAUUUAACAAUAAUUUAUUUGGUUGAUUCUAUCAAAGUUCGAUCUUAUCCAAAAUAAUUUUUUCUUGAAUUUAAUAUACAUGAUUAAUUAUGAGUUAUUGAACAAGUCUAAUAUUAUUAUGGUAAUAUGAUUUAAUUUGAAAAGCAAUAUUACAAUUCAGUAGUUUACUUUUAUACAAGAUAAAUUUUUCAUGAGUCCUUUAUGUCCAUAAUAUGAUUAUCGAAAACAACUAGAAUUUGCUACUUUACCUUUUGAAUCGUGCCAAAUAUUUGUUUAAAAUAUAAAUAUUUGAUUUAUUUAAAUAUUCAAGUAUUUUUAGGCAUGUACAGUUAUAUAUAUAUAUAUAUAUAUAUAUAUAUAUAUAGAAUUGGGAAUAUGCGGUUCGUGAGCCUUUAUGACUAUUCUCUUUUGUAUUCCAUUUCAUCCUUCAUACACGGUUCACGGUGAUUUGAUUUAUGAAAAUAUUCAUUUGCUUUUCUUCAAAAUUUAGUAAAUAAAAAUAAAAAAUUAUCGAAAUUGUUACCAAUGAGGUUCUCGACGCAAGGCGUGCAUGGCAUCAAUGUCAACCCUCAAGCCUUAUGAAUCCAAUAUAUUAAAAAAAAAAUUUCUUGUUUUUAACGUGAUUUUAAUUUUUCUAAGAUUAUUUAUAAUAUUUCUUUUUAUUUUAUAUAUAUAUAUAUAUAUAAUGUGCAUGCCUAGGCUUGAAUGAGUCGCGCCUUCUUCACUAGUGUAACGACCCAAGCACAUGAAACUAACUAGCACAAAUUAAUCAAUAGAAGAAACUCAUACCCUAAUAAAAUAUAUUCCAAACAAAUGCUAAAAACCAUGCAUAUCACAUUUAUUAGAUAAAUAAUAAAAUGUUAAUUUCACUAAUAUAGCUUGACAUAGAUUGAAAAUUAUAACCCAAUAAAUCAUAUUUGUUGUAAAAGAAAAGUUUAUUAGAGUUUAGAGAUAAAUGACAAUUACACCCCCGUAGUCCUUGAAAUAAUUACUGUUGUAUACCUGAUACUGCCCUAUAAAUACAGGGCUUUAGUUCUUAAUAAAAUACAUACAAGUCUAUUGACUUCUCUCUGUUCUCUUCACUUUUCUUCUCUUUUCACAACGUGUUAUCAGCAUAAAAGCUUAAUUUUUUCAAGGUCUAGUGAAGAUAGUAUUUCUUUUAAAAGCAUAAUCAUCUAUUGCGUGUAUCAAAACUAAUUUGAUUACAUGUAAAAUUUCUUUUACAUAUACACAGUUAAAUAUCCUAGUUAUGGUAUUGCACCCGCCGCCAGUACCUAGCUUCUUGAUUCUUUCAAAUUCAAUGAUUCACGCAAAUUUGAUUCUGCAUAUUGUUGCUACUAAUUAAAUCUGUUAUUGCGCCUAAAAGGAAAUUCUUCGGUAAUUAGUAGUUGCUAUUAAUUAAAUCCAAUAAUUCAAUUUUUUUAGUUAUGUACACGUGUUCCCAAGGUAACCUUUGUGCCAAACUUCUAUUUACUUUAAUUGACUUUUGCACGUUAAUUAAUUUAUGAAAAUUAGCUAUUGCUUCAGACACUUCAUAAUAGGUUUUUUAGAAUUCACGUCAUAAUAUGUGAACUGGUUUCUGUACUUUAAAAAAGAAAUUCAUGUUUACAUGGUAAUUAAAUAUUAUUUUCACGUGCAUGCUUGAAAGAUUUUUUUUCUUUACUUAUACAUUUUUUGUGAUUAAUGCUUGCAUGUAAAUUCAUAUCAUAUCUAUAUGGUAAUUAAAUAUAUUGGAUGUUCUUAUAUAAACUUUAACUUAACAAUUUAUCAUGUUGUUGCUCCUAAAGUAACACAACAUUAUAAUUAAUAUUCCAGAAGCAUAUUAAUUGAAAAUCUAUCUAUUAUAUAUAGUUUGUUGAUGCUUUUGAAGUAGCACAAUAUUAUAAUUAGUAUUCUUAGAGAAUAUUACUUGCUCCUGAAGAGCAUAAAUUAUAUUUUUCAAUAUUCCAGAAGAAUACUAAAAUAUUGCUCUUGAAAAGGUGACAGUAAAAUACGUGUUUCUGAAGUAGCACAUGUUUUGAAGAACAUAUUAUUUUAAAUUAAUGUUUAUCGCUAAGGGAAAACAUGCAACUUAUUUCAUGAUUAACUAUUAUGUGAUGUCUAAUAAUAUUCUUCGAAACUAAUUGUAUUCUCUUUUUACUUUACUGUGUAGUUAAUCAAAUGGCAAAUACCACAAAACUAGAGUUUAUUGCACUUGCAUCUCUGGCAAAAACUAUCUAUCAUGGAUACUUGACGAUGAUAUUCAUCUUGUCUCAAAAAAUUUGAGGGAGACAAUAAAAGAAGAAAACAAAGAAUCCCGCAGGAUCGUACAAAAGCACUAUAUUCCUUCGCUAUCAUCUUCAUGAUGGACUGAAAUUAAAUAUCUCACUGAGAAAGAUCCACAGGUUUUUCGGAAAAAAUUUACUUGAGAGAUUUGAUCAUCAAAGGACUAUAGUCCUCCUCAAAGCCCGCUAUGAGUGGAUGCACCUUUGUUUGCAAGAUUUCAAAACUGUUAUUGAGUACAAUUGUGAAUUGUUCAGAAUAUGUUCAAAAUUGAUAUUGUGUGGAGAAAAAAUCACUAAUAAAGAUAUGUUGGAGAAAACUUUUUCCACCUUUCAUGCAUCGAAUGGCUCUUGCAGCAGCAAUAUCGUGAGCGUGGUUUUAAAAAGAACUCAAAACUUAUAUCUUGCCUACUUGUUGCUGAAUAGAAUAAUGAACUGCUGAUAAAAAAUCAUGGAUUACGUCGAACAAUUGCCUAAAGCAAAUGGCACUAUAUUACCUGAAGCAAAUACAAUAUCAAAACAAGAACGUGGACUUGAAUACGGUUUUGGACGUGCACGCAGAAUAAACAAUGGACGAAAUAAUCAACAAAGUUUUCAACAACAAUGCAACAAUUUCUAAAGGCACAAAGCAGACAAAAGUAGUACAUUAAAAAAGCUAUGAAGAAAGUUGCUUUAGAUGUGGAAUGAAAGUGCAUUGGACACGUACCUGUCAUACAGCAAAACACCUUGUGGAUCCCGAUCAAAAAUCAAUCAAGAGAAAGAGAAAAGUGAAGACAAAUUUUGUUGAUUAUGAUGGUCCAAUUGAUAUGACUCAUUUGGAUGUCUUUGAUUUCUUUGCUGAUCCAAAUGAAAAUAUUUACCAUUUGAUUAGGGAUUGUGUGAUGGAAGAUAUAGAAUAGUUUUUUUUUUCUUUUUUUAUAUAUAUUUCUAGUAUUUCCCUUUAUUUUAGAAAUUUACUUUGAAAUAUGUUUUUACUUUUCGCAAAACUUUUGAACUUUAUUAUGCAUCGUUAAUUUUACAGUAUUCAUUAUGUUAUCAUUUUGAAUUUAAAUUCAAGUUUUUUUUAAAUGUGUCUAUUUUGUUAUAUUGAUAUAUUCAUGAUGGAUUGUCAAGAAACCUACUUGAUUGAUAGUGCAAUUACACAUGCUACUCUUCAAGAUAAAAAAUAUUUCUUGGACUUAACAUUAAAAGAAAAUAAUGUAAAUACAAUAUCAGGCGCAUCGAAUAUCGUUUAGGGCUUUAAAAGAGCUUGUAUUAUUUUACCAAAUAAUAGAAAAUUAUUUAUUGACGAUACACUUUAUUCUAGUAAAUCCAGAAGAAAUUUAAUUAGUUUUAAAGAUAUCUGCUGCAACGGAUACCAUAUUGAGACGAUGUAAGAAAAUAAUACUGAAUAUCUUUGCAUAACUUCUUUUGUAUCUGAUCAGAAGCAGAUAAAAGAAAUAAUUUAUGCACUCACAUCUGGCAUGUAUUAUACAUUUAUAAAAAUGGUUGAAUCAAAUAUUAUCAUGAAUCAGAAGUUCGUUGACCUAAAAAGUUUUAUACUAUGGCAUGAUUGACUUGGACAUUCAGGAGCUAUAAUGAUGAGACGAAUAAUAAAUAAUUCACAUGGACAUUCUUUAAAGAACCAGAAGAUUCUUUUUCCUAAUGAUUAUCCAUGUGUAGAUUAUUCGUAAGACAAAUUAGUCAUUAGACCUUCAACUAUAAAGGUCAAUAUUGAAUCUUCAACUUUCUUGGAAAGAAUUCAUGGAGAUAUAUGUGGACCAAUACACCCACCAUGUGGAUGAUUUUGUUAUUUUAUAGUAUUAAUUGAUUCUUCUACUAGAUUGUCACAUAUUUGCCUACUUUCCACCAGGAAUGUAGCAUUUGCUAGACUACUUGCUCAAAUUAUAAAAUCACGAGAACCAUUUUUGGAUUAUUCAAUUAAAACUAUUCAUCUUGAUAAUGUUGAUGAAUUUAGAUCACAAGUAUUCGAUGAUUAUUGUAUGUCAAUCAGGAUUGUAAUUGAACAUUCAGUUGCACAUGUCCAUACACAAAAUAGUUUGAUGGGGUCAUUUAUCAAAUGUCAUUGAUGGACCAUUACUUAUGAAAACAAAACUCCCAACUUCUAUUUGGGGUCAUGCCAUAUUACAUGCUGCAUCAUUGGUUCAUCUUAGACCAAUUGCCUAUUAUGAAUAUUCAUUUUUGCAACUGGCAUUUGGUUAUGAACCUGAUAUUUCUUAUCUACAAGUCUUUGGUUGUGCUAUCCAAGUCCCUAUUUCAACCCCACAACGCACUAAAAUGGGUCCUCAACUAAGACUUGGGAUUUAUGUGGGUUUUCAUUCAUCAUCAAUUAUUAGGUAUCUUGAGCCUUUAACGAGUGACUUAUUUACUGUACGUUUUCUAAAUUGUCAUUUUGAUUAAAUGACUUUCCCAACUUUGGGAGGAAAAAAAUUAUAUCCUGAAAAACAAGGUAAAAUUUAUUAGAUUGAAACAAAUAUAUCUCACUUUGAUCCUCGCAACAAUCAUUGUGAGCAAGAGGUUGAAAAAAUUAUUCAUUUGCAAAGAAUUGUAAAUCAAUUACCUGAUAUAUUUGUUGACACAAGAAAAAGUGUCAAAGUUAUAGAUACCAGCAGAAAAAUAUUUCAGCAAAAAUUGAUGUUCCUGAAUGACAAUUUAUUGUGGCAAAUGAAUCUCAAAUAAGCGAAGAGCAUGGUCGACCAGUUGGUUCAAAAGACUCUGUACCUUGAAAAAGAAAAGUACAAGUGAACAACCAACCAAAAAAUUUGGAAGAAGUCACAUCAGAAAUAAUUGAUCAAUCAAAUAUUGAAGAUAUGGUUCCUAAAGAACCACAACUGUUCGAAAAUAAUGAUAUUUCAAUAAAUUAUAUGUUAUCUUGUAAAUUAUGGGAAUGAAAUACUGUUGUUACAAACAAUAUUUUUGCAUUUAAUGUGGCUCUUGAUAUUAUGCAAAAUGAAGAUCAUGAACCACAGUUGUUUAAAGACUGUCAAAAUAGAAAUGAUUGGCAAAAAUGGAAAAAAGCCAUGCAGGCAGAAUUAAAUUCUUUGGAGAAAUAAAAAGUGUUUGGACCAAUUGUUCAAACACCUAAAAAUGUAAUCCUUAUUGGAUACAAAUGGGUUUUUAAUUGAAAGGGAAAUGAAAAUAAUGAAAUUACAAAGUACAAAGCUCGACUAGUAGUUCAAGAUUUCUCACAAAGGCUAGGAAUUGAUUAUGAGGAAAUAUAUUCUCCCGUAAUGGACACAAUCACUUUUAGAUUUUUAAUUAGUUUGACUAUGUCACAAAAUCUUGAUAUGCGCAUUAUGGAUAUAGUAACUGUAUAUUUGUAUGGUUCACUUGAUAGUGACAUAUAUAUGAAUGUCCUUGAAGGACUUAAAGUACCAGGAACAAACAAUAUAUGCCCGAGAACUAUGUUCUCAAUUAAAUUGCGAAAAAUCAUUAUAUGGAUUAAAACAAUUCGGACGCAUGUGGUAUAAUUUCCUUAGCGAAUAUUUGUUGAAGGAGGGUUAUAAUAAUGAUGAUGUCUAUCCAUGUGUUUUCAUAAAGAAAACAAAUAUUGGAUUUGCAAUAGUGGCAAUUUAUAUUGAUGAUUUAAAUUUAAUUAGAACUCCUGAAGAGCUCAACAAAAUUGCUGAUUAUUUGAAGAAUGAAUUUGAGAUUAACGAUUUGGGAAAAACCAAAUUUUGUCUCGAAUUGAAAAUUGAACAUUUCGCAGAUAGAUUACUUGUUCUUCAAUCUACGUAUAAAGAAAAAGUUUUAAAAAUUUUUUGUAUGAAUAAUGCACAUCCAUUGGCAUCACUUAUGAUUGUUUGAUCACUUGAUGUGAAAAAUGAUCCAUUUCGUCCACUUGAAGAUGGAGAAAAUGUUUUUGGUCCUGAAAUAUCAUAUUUUAGUGCAAUUGGAGUAUUAACAUAUCUUGUGAAUUGCACUCGAUCCAACAUAGCUUUUUCUGUAAAUCUCCUUGCAAGAUAUAGCUUUACACCAAUUUAACGAUAUUGGAAUGGUGCUAGACAUAUUUUUCGUUACCUAAAGGGUACUAUUUAUUUUGGAUUAUUUUAUUCUCAAAAGUUAAGGUCUACUUUAGUGGAAUAUGCAGAUGCAGGUUAUCUAUCUUACCUACAUAAAGCUAAAUCACAAACAGGUUAUGUGUUUACACGUGGAGGAACGACUAUAUCAUGAAAAUCUAUGAAAUAAUCCUUGACAGCUACAUCCUGAAGUCAUUCCAAAAUUAUUGCAAUUCAUGAAGAAGGCUGAGAAUGUGUAUGGUUGAGAAACAUGACCCAUCAUAUCCAAACAUCAUGUAGGUUAACUUCAAUAAAAGAUAGUUCAACAAUUUUGUAAGAAGACAAUGGAGCAUGUAUUGCACAACUCAGAGAAGGUUAUAUCAAAGAUGACGCGAAGAAUCAUAUUUUCUCCAAAAUUCUUUCAUACACAUGAUCUUCAAAAAAAUGGCGACAUCGAUAUCCAACGAAUCCACUCAAGUGACAAUGUGGUCGAUUUAUUCACAAAAGCACUGCUAACAUCUACAUUUAAGAAAUUAGUUCAAGAGAUUGGAAUGCGUUGACUCAAAGAUCUUCAGUGAUCAACAUCAGGGGGAGUAGCUGUACUCUUUUUCCUUUGCUUAGAUUUUAUCCCACUGGGUUUUCUUAACAAGGUUUUAAUGAUGCAACAUUUAUUUUUAGUACUCCAAAAUAAUUGUACUCGUUUACCUUCAUUUGAUUUUUUUCCAUUGAAUUUUUAUCAAAUAAGGUUUUAACGAAGCAGAAUUUUGUAAUGUGUCAUUUAAGGGAAAUUAUUUUAAAAGGAAAAUUUAUUAGGGUUUAGAGGCAAAUGACAGUUACACCCCUGCAGCCCUAGAAAUAAUUAUUUUUGUAUCUCUAAUUAUGUUUUAUAAAUACAGGGCUUUGAUUUUUAAUAAAAAACACACAAGCUUAUUGACUUCUCUCUGUUCUCUUCACUUUUCUUCUCUUUUCACAACAUAUCUUAAAUAUAUAACUAAAUCAUUAUGAAAUAACUAAGAUAAUGCAGAAAUUAAAAUUGUCUCUUUACAUCGGAUUAUUUUAUUGAAUCCCAUUAAUUCUGGCACCUCAAGUGCACAUCAUCGCUCGUCAACAAACUAUCCGUUCUAACAUGUGAGGAGUAGGGAAAAAUGGUAUGUGAAAAUACUCAAUAGGACACGAAAAUGGUGGUGCAAUCCCAAAUAAAAAUAUUUAAAACAUGCAUAAAAAAUAUCAUACCGUCUUCAUAUCUUUAGAAACUAGUAAGAGCUCAAUACAUAUCAGAUCUUUGGAGCCGCAUGGCCAUAUCAUACAUAUCAUAUUAUAUCAUAUCUUUAACUUUCAUAAACAUAAUAAUUUAACAACAUGCAAAAAACAAUUUAAAAGGGAUAAAAAUCAAUGGCUCCUCAUUAUCCUAUCUUGCUUGAUCAAUCAAAUUUUGAAAGGAGAAAGCAGGUUUCCAAUAUUCAUUUUUUUGCCUACCACUGCAGUCGUGUGCGUAUGAAUAUUCUACUAUAGAAUAAAGAUAUAAAUGAAUAGUCUUUAAGUUAAAAAAAACAAUUGAAUUUUUUGGUAAAAUAGAAUUACAUAGAGCCGUGUGCCACAAUGCAGAGGUCACUAUCAAGAUAAUGCCCCCGUUUAGCCUCCAUUUUCUGGAAAUGAAAAUGGGUGGAAUAGUAUUUUUUUGAAAAAUAAAUGGUUGAAAAAGAGAGAAAAGAUUUCGAUUUACGUGUAAUAUUAUUUUAUUGAAGAUUGUAUGGUUGAAAAAUAAGGGAGAAAAAAUGGAAUGUAAUGUAAUGAAAUUUAAUGGAGACCAAACGGGGUUAAUAUUUCAUCAUUAUCCCAUUCAAAAAAAUAAUAAUAAAUAAAAAAAUAAAUCUCAUUUGUAUCUAAUUCUACACAUGGGUCCUACCCAUUUCAAACCCAAUUUUUAUUUAUCAAAAACAAGUAAUAACAACUUCUUUAAACUUCAAUUACUUUAGCUUCUCUUAUUGGAAUUAACUUUUAUCGAACGUACCAUACAUAAUUAAAUACGAACUAUCCAAUGAGCCCCAUAUUGAUUUAUUUUUCAUCGCUUUAUCAAUAUCUAAAUAUUUGAUCCAAAAUUUGAAUUAAUUUAUACAUCAAUUUAGUCCCCCAACUUUUCAAACUAAUAAAAAUAUAGCAUAUAGAACAAGAAAUUCAAGUCUAUAAUUUUUCUUCUUAUUUAUUAAUCUAUUUAUUAUUAUUAUUAUUAUUAUUAUUAUUAUUAUUAUUAUUAUUAUUAUUAUUAUUAUUAUUAUUAUUGGUUUUACAACUAGGCUCAACUAGACCCCACAGGCUUCUUCCACCUUUUCGAAUACUAAGGGUGUGUUUGAUUGCGAGCAUAGAUUUACAUGGAAAGAAAAUAAGUUCUAAACAAUUGAAUUGACUAGAAAGUAUUUACAUGAAAAUUGUUGGUUAAAUGUAUUUGAUUGAUUUUAUUUUCAACCUAGAAAAUAUUAUAUUUUUCCAUUUUUUAUUGGUUGGUAGAUGAAAGAGAUAAAGAGAGAGUGAAUUACUAGGAAAAUAAAAACAUACUCCUCUAAAAAAAAUAUUCUCCUUGUUUUCAAAAUAAUAUAUAUAUAAUUAAGUACCAAUAGUAUGGAUUUGGUACUUAAUUUACUCUUCCACCUGCAAGUUGGUCUCAAAUUUGAGCAAAUAACUUCUCAACUUUUCAUUAACGUUGCGACCUAGCUCUUAGUUCGGAAUGUCAAUAGGCGCAAGCUGUCAUCGAAUUGUUUGUUUGGCUCAUGCCUAUAAAUGCCUUGGCUCAACUCUGAGGCAAGUCUUAGGGUAAGCAAAGUCGAGAACUUCCCGUGCAAGUGCUGACUCAUUUUCGCAUUUUUUUUCCGUCUAAAAAUGUUGCAAUUUCUCAAACAGUUUCUUCCCAUCUUUCUACACUGUUCCAUAAUUUCGUAUAUCACUCAAUAGUAUUAUAAAUUUGCAAUUAUUCUUACUGUUGUCAUUUUUUUUUGCAAUUAUUGCUUCAACUUCUCACUACUCACCAGUUACCAACCAUUUAUUGCUUUUUCCUUCUAUUUUCGACGAAAUUUCGAAUGGAUUAUAGUGGACUGAACCCCAGUUAGGAUGUCCAAAUAAGUAUUUCAGAAAAAGAGAAAAAAAAAUUGAGGCAAAUAGUUUUGUUUGGUUUCAAACGGUUUUUAACUAUGAAAAUCUAAACCUAAUAAUUUCUAUGCGGCACCUCAAUUUGAAGCCGAAAUAUAAACGGAUACUUAUGGAACAAACCAACAGUUUGAUGGGUUGCGAUUUCUAUUCACCUGAAGUAGAAACCAUAAAUAUAUUAUAAUUAGUAAGUUGUGGAUUAUACAUAAAAUGAUCUUUACAUUUAAGGUCAUUGGGUAUCCACGUUAUUCACAAAAUAUUAUCAACAUUUUCAUUGCCAUCUUUAGAGAUUAUUAUUAUUAUUAUUAUUAUUAUUAUUUUGUGAACAUAAAGUCAUAGUUUCACUUUUGAAAAUGCAAAUGAUAAUAAUAAUGUUAAAGAUUUAUUGAUUAACCUACUUCAUCCUCAUUUUGAUGCCCAACUUUUCCAUUUGUUCAGUGUUUCUCAUAUUUUUAAUUUAAAUGUACAAGAUGACCUUAUGUAUUUAAUCUACGGCAAAAAGUUUAGACAUCUUUUAGAAAAAAAAAUUGAAAAAUAACCCCAUUUUAAAUCUUUGUGUAUGUGUAACUAUUUUUUUUUCUCAAAACAAUACCAUGUUACUUCAGUUCACAGAAUUUAACAUAUUUUUGUUACUUUUGUAUUAAAAUCAAAAUUUCAAAUCUACAUUUUUUAUUACAUGUUAAAAAUCACAUUUCACAUGAGUUAUAUGCGUGUUACCAUGUUUACUUUUAUAUAUUACUCUAAUACUUAUUUUUUAUAUAAGAGUAAGAUAUGUGUUACUUGUAUUACUCAUGUUACUGCUAAUCCAGACUCUAACACCAUCCCAUCUAAAACAGUUUCCAACCAUUACUGCAAUCUUCCACCACCACCAUCACAUCCCAUUGCAAAUUAUUAGGUCGGAUUUCUCUGAUCUCAACCAACACCAUCCGAAUCAAAUCAUUCGAACUCACUUCAAAUUAAUUUCAAGUAUGGAUUAGCACAGGAAAAAGUUACAAGCAGAUUAUGCAAUUUUUGAAGUCUAACCCAGCCAUUGAAGGAAAACCAAAAAAAUAAAAAUAUAAUAGUAAUGAUUGAGAUUUAAAUUUGAAAACAUAUAGCAUGAACUUCAAAAUUGAAUUAUGGAACUGCAGCUUUCAUGGAACGAGAAAGCAGAUAUUGAGUCACUUUGGUUUGGACAAAAAGUCUGCCACUAUUUCUUCCAAGUCCAUUUAAUCAGCACCUAGAACGUCCAGUGGAUCCAAAAUAGGAGAAAAUAGUGCAGAUCUGGUAGUAAACGUGGUGACAAGUGACGAUCAGUGUUGUUAAAUUUGGGGUGGGAUGGUGCCGUAUUUAUUGGCCAACAAAAACUGGAUCGAAAGGGGAACAAAGUGUAGAUCUCACGAUGUUGGUGGUUGAAGAAGGUGAUGAAUUGGUGGGAGAAGUGUCAGCGGCGAUAGGCGUUGGAGGUGGUGAAAGUAGUGGUGGCAGGUUGAUGUCUGGAGGAUUAUGUUUGGUGACUACUUCUUCCAUUCCAUAAAGAUGAGCUUACUUUUCUUUUAUGUAUGUCCCAAAUUUUAGGCACUUUCCUUGGUGGUAUAGUUAAUUUCAUAAAAAUUACACCCAACCAUAAUUUUUAAGAUUCAACUUAAAAAAUCAAUUUUGAAAUUUUUAUAUACAAAAAUCAGAUGAUAAUAUAAUAUUAUAAAUAUUAAUAAUAAUAUUACAAAAAUUAAAUUAUUUUACAUAUCCGCUCCACUAUCAUCUACCAUCCCAAAUCCUAAUUAUUUCCCAAUCUAUUCUUUCUUUCUCUGGUGAACCAUCCAUUUUCUCUUCUUCUCACAUCUCUCUCUACCCUCCCCCUCCUAAAAUUGCCCCAUUGCCCACCAUCACUGUCACUACCACCACACCCAUGGGAAUGCAUCAUCCGUCGAUCUGAGAUCUCAUAGCAGCACGAUCUGAGAGCCAACAAGUGAAUCUAUUUUUUCGCUCUCUGUACCAGUGCCUCCUCCAUUUUCUUUUCAUCUCCCACAUCGCGAUGCCGCUGUGUCGCCACCAUGCCCAGCGCUAUACGUUGCUCAUCAAUCUGGGAGUGACGUUGGUCUGAGAUCUUUGAGCAACACGAUCUGAGAGACAUCGAUGGGUUCUAAUGGUGUGGUGCUGUGGUGGUGGUUUUGAGGUUGUUGUGGUUGCGGUACGGUGUGGUGUAGUUGAUUGUGUGAUUUGUGGUUGCGGUGUGGUUGGUUGGUUAGUUGACGUUGGUGGUGGUGGUAGUCAUGAUUGUGCUUUGUGGUGGUGUGGUUUUUGCAUUGUUGUGUGUGUGAUGGUUGUGGUUAGUGUUGUGGUUGCCGUGGUGUGGUGAUUGCAAGGACGGACAUAGUGGUGAUUAUUUGUUUGAUUGUGACUCACAAUUUUUUAAUCAGUGACCAAGAAAUAACUUGUAACUAAUUGAUUUGAUAAUUUGUGACCGUUAAAUAAAAUAUGACCUAUAAAACUUUUGAUUUGUGACCGUGAAAUAAUUUGUGAUCAAGUGAUUCAAUAAUUUUGACCAAAUUGUAUAAAAUUGUGACCUUAAUAUAUUUAACUAAUAAAAUAUGUUUAUAGUUAAUUAUUUUAUAAAUGAAAUUUAAUUAAAAUCUUAUUUUUGAAAUUUUAAACCUUAUUUCUGAAUUUUGAAAUAUAAAAUUUUUCCUUUUCUAACGUAUCCCGAUUUAAUGUGCAUGUUACCCAUAAAUAUGAGCUACUCCUAUUUAAAUCAUUAUUUAAUGUACGGAUAUAUUAAAAAAAUUAUAUUUUCAACUAUAUUAAUUAUAUUUUCUUAAUCAUGUGAAAAUGGAAACAAACCAAACUUUAUUGGAUGGAUUGAGUAAUUAAUAUUAGACUUAGGGUUUGCUAAAUAUUUGUACACUAUAAAAGAAGUAUUUAAAUGUUUGACAAUGGGUAAUUCUCCAAAAAAUUUAAUUAAAUGUAGGUGAUUUUUUUUAAAUGGGCUAUUUUCCAGUUUUUAAAAGAAAAUAAGGCUUAUAGCAUAAUUAUCACUUAAGAAAACAUUCAAUCUAGACUUUUAAAAUUUUUUUAUUACAAGUGACAGACUAGUGCGAAAUUCGUAAAUGUGUAUUGACUUUUACAAAUUUGUGUAAAUUUCAUGAGAAUCUUUCAUUCACUUCUCAAAUUUUUCUUUCAAGGGCUUCUAUAAGCUUCGUUAGACUUUGAAAGACUAUUACUUUUGAGAGAGAGAGAGGCCUUGUACAUAAUGUUAUAUUAAUUAUUGCAUAUUCUUAUUUUAUUAAUUAUAUGUUGCAAUGUAAUACUAUUUUGAACCGCUACUAAUGUAACCAAAUUAUGGAAAAAUAAAAAUAAAAGAUCAUAUGCAACUAUAAACAUUGAGUAAACGACAGUAAUAUAUUUUUCAUCCGUAUCAACUCAAAGGAUAUUUACAAUGCUCGUUAGGGAGCUAUCAAGCCACACGUUACACUGAAAUUCGGAAUGAGAAUCCACAUUAGCUUCCCUUUGAAUUGAUCAUCGGAGGUCAUUAAGGAGCCUAUCAUUCUAGAUAUUCGCAAAAGAACUGGCUCUUCUUGAGCGUAUAAAGAUAAGUUAUGCACGGCCUCUACUGACUUCAUAAAAGAGAUUAUUAUUGAUCCCAAAGGCAACGCAAUGAUUGAGAUUAAUGACGUAUGAAAUAUGUAACAAGAUCACAAAUUUGAAACAAGAUUUAAAGUAAGGUAAUCAAAGAGAGUCAAGCACAGGAAACGAUAUUUUAUUAAAAUGACGACAUGGAGAGAAAAUUACAACACAAUAAUUUAAGCUUUAAUUAAACUAAAAGAAGGGCCAUUUAUAGGUAUAAACCAUACCAUAAAGAUAAAAAUAAUGUGAAAUAAUGGAAUAAUAUAUUUCCAAUAAAAUCAUGUGAAAAUAAAGAAACAAUAUUUUUCCACGAGAAAAUAAUAAAACAAUUUUCUUUUUCCUAAUUUGAAUCAUAAACCCAACAAUCUCCACAUUGAUGUAAAUUCCGAUGCAACGAAAGAAGUUAAAAAAAUUCCCCUACCUGAGAAAUAAGUCUGUCUGCAUUGAAAUAGCCAAACUUAACACAAUAACCAAAACUCCCCAUCACACACACACACGCAAAAAAAAUAAUAAUAAAUAAACAAAUAAAUAAAAAAUCUUCCUCUGCCCAACAUCCACAAGCGAUACUGAAACCCAACUUCCGAGUUCCCAAAAUUCCACAAAGGAAUUACUAUUGAGCAAACAGGGUUGAAGCACACACCGGUAGCAGAAAUCACACCAAAUGCCUGAUCACAAGGACUUUUAGUAGAACUGUCACCUUCAACGAUUCUGAAAGCGUUAUAGACAUCACUAACACCAUUGUAUCUACUCUCCAUGAAUCCAACCCUAGCAACUGAAUACAGUAUAUCUGUUAAAAUUGGUGGCAAAGUGGAAUCACCAAUGCUCCCCUAAGCAAUGUUCUGAGCCGACCCAAAGCCCGUCACAAGAGGUACUGUACUAAAUUGAACAUCCACAACGGUAUUGAACUUUUCCAAAUGUCUCUUAACUAGUUACGUGCUUCUCUACUAGAUGUACAAUUGUGACUUCUUCCAUCCCUCCAAUACAACCCGGACACCCCUUCGGAGUUUCAAGACUCUACCUUGGCCAGAAAAAUUAUACCCUAGGCUACUUAGCGAGAUGAGUUUCCUUUUCAAGUCUGAAAAAUGUCGAACUUGAUCAAUUAUUCAGACCGUCCCAUCCUGGAAACUUAAUCUAACUCGACCUAUUCCAACAACAGGGCAAGACUGGUUAUUUCCCAUCAAAACUCCACCUUGCUUGAUAGCUCUAUAUGUCUUAAAGAAAUUUCGAUUGGAAUACAUAUGAUACGAACAUGCCGAAUCAAGAAUCCACUCCUCAUCAGGUUUAGACUCCACAAUCAGAUACCACGGUCAACAUCACAGCACCGCCAUCUAAAAAAUCCUCAGUAACAUUAGUCUCGUCCGAAUUGCGUGAUUUCCCCUGUGAUUUGCAGCUAAAUUACCUUUUGCUUGCAACCUAUUACAAUCUUUCUUAACGUGUCCUUUCCUCCUACAGUAGAAGUAGUACAAAUUGCUGAAUUUUGUCCUCGAUUUACCCUUCCGUCGAUCACCAUAAAAUACUAGAGCUUCCUCAUCCCCCGAAGUAGCUCCAACAUCGUAGACAUCCUCAAUGGUCAAAGUAUCACGGCUGUAUAGGAUGGUGUCCCGAAAUGGCGAAUAAGAAGCGUGGCAGCAAACACAACAAGAUCAAAGUUAGGUCCUCCUCAUUUUACUUAACCUCCAAUGUCUCUAAAUCUGCAACUAUUUUCUUGACCACAACAAUGUGGUCUUCUAGUGGCCCUCCUUCCGCCAUGCAAUGGGAAUAUAGCUUUUGCUUUAGAGCCAGUUUGCUAGUGAGACUUUUAGUCAUGCAUAAUUGCUCCAGUUUCAGCCACAAAGCAGCCGUUGUUUUCUCCUUUAAGAUGUCCUAUAGAAUAUUAUUUGAUAAAUGAAGAUGAAUCUACGAUAAAGCAUUUUGCCCUCCGUUGUAUCUCCUCUAUUGUCCAAUUAGUUAGCAUCUUCUCAAAACCCAGCAAUGCAUCGUCCAAAUUAAACUGCGCCAAAAUAGCCUUCAUCUUUACUUGCUACAGAAAAAAUCUUGUAUUGCUAUCCGAUAGCGAUAUAUCAUAUUUCAAUGUAGCCCUCUCUAAAAAUCCCAACCAAAUCACAAAGAACAUACAGCCUAACUCUGAUACCACUUAUUAAUCCCAAAGACGACACAAGGAUUGGGAUUACUGACGGUGCAUGAAAUAUGUAACAAGAUCACAAAGAUGAAACAAGAUUAAUAAUAAUAAUAAUAAUAAUAAUAAUAAUGAUAAUAAUAAUAAUAAUAAUAAUAAUAAUAAUAAUAAUAAUAAUCAAAGAGAGUUAAGUAGAGAAAAUGAUGUUUUAUUAUAACGACGACAUGGAGAGAAAAAUUACAUCAUAGUAAUUUUGGCUUUAACUAAAUUGAAAGAAGAAGUCACUAUUUAUAGGUAUAUACCAUACCAUAAAAAUGAAAAUAAUGUGAAAUAAGGAAAUAAUAUAUUUCCAAUAAAAUCACGCGAAAAUAAGGAAACAAUUUUCUUUUUCCUAAUUUGGCACAUAAACCCAACAAUUAUUAGAUUGUGAACUCCAGCAAAUUUGAGACCCUCUAAAAUGGCAAUAUAAUCCUCAAAAAAUGGAGACAUAUUACCCAGAAUGAUUUUGACAUUGCAGCAUUUGAAUCACCUCUUUAUAGUUCCUUCAAAUGAUCAUUCACGCCAUAUAAACUGACCCUAGAUCCUUGUGGCAACGUCACCCUUUAAUUUAAGCUUAUUUUUCAGUGGUGGUAGCCACCUACGCAUUGAAACAUCUACCUGAGGUUGCGGGUCAGUACCGCGGUUAUCAAUUAUCAGUAAGCAAGAAAACCAGUCGUCCCUUUAAGAAUUCUAGCAGUCUCACUCUUAUGUUGGACUCCAUUAAAAAAAAUUUAAUUUUUCUGUACCAACAAUACCACAAUGUUCCAUCACAAGCUUUGAAAACACUACACUAGACUGUUGUCGAUUUGGCUAACAAUUUCAUUUUCCAAACCUCGACAAUCCUUUCACACUUGAUUAAGGAGCGUAGUACCCUCCACUCCCAUUUUUACAUAUCUCCAACUAUCUUCAGAUGAAGAAUUUGAUUUACUCGGCAUAUUUGCACACCAUAACAAACUUCACCAUCCUACUAAUGGGUUUGAGCAUGCCUGGGAAUUUCCUAUCUUUUAGUGACACUACGAGCCAAUUUCCUAAUUUAAUUGUGUAAUUACCUUUUUGUCAAAUACCAUAUUUGUAUACAAUCAUGCUACGCAUACAUUAUUUUUUACUUCAUUUUUGACGUUGUGCCAUUUGGCAACACACAAUUAGUCAGUUUCAAAAAAAUAAAAAAUAAAAAAUUCUCGUCCACAACUUUUUGAAAACCAAUGAAAUGUAAAGAAUGAUGUCAACUAAACAAUGUACACUUAGCAUUAUUCUAUUGGUAUCUCUAACACAUAGUACGAUAAGAAUGAGCUCCGUAUCAAUUGGUAAAGGGUGUGUCAGGAACCCAAUGACAGCUAAACACGGAUAAACAAUAUGACAGUGGAGAAAAUAAUUGUCACGUUGAAUUCAAGUCGAUGAGGUGUCCAGGUUUAUUAUAAUGCGCCAGCUUUGUUCGACAUUGAAGAGCAUCAAGUCCUUGAAAUGGAUUCCUCUCAUUACCCUCUUUUGUUCCCGACCAGAAAGUUGCAUCUGAUCUUCUCAAGUCAUUGAACAAAUUGACAACUGAAAAAUGGUCAUAGUAUAAAUUGAGAUCGACUGUGCUACAGCCUUUAUAAGAAUAUCUUUUCCUUAAAUGGAGAAAACUUAUGCCUCAAAAACUACAGUUUCUUCUAAACUCUUUCCCCAACUCCAUCAUAAACACUUUUUUUGCGCGCCCAGUUACCGAUGGUAGCCCCAGGUAAUUGCCCUGCAAUUGAACUUGUUCUAACUCAUUAUACUUUACCGACUGCUGGAUAACUAUGCUGUGUUAGGGCUGAAAGUCAUGGCUCAUUUCGUGAUAUUAACUCUCUGUCCCCACGAUGACUUGUAUGUGUCAAAACACUAGGUUAUCAUCAGGAACUUUGUUAUUUGUCUACUGAUUUUUGACACGUUGGUUGACACUUACAUUGUCGUCAAAUGUCAAUUGAAUGGAAAAAUUAUUUGAAAUUUAUACUGUUCAAUAUAAUAAUGCUAUAUGAUAAAGUGUAAACUAAAGUGUACACCAUAGUGUACAUAUAACAAAGUUCUAUCAUCAACGAGAAACAGGUGAUUAACUAAUGGUCCAUUCCGAGAACAACUGAACCCUUAUCUUUCAGCUCUUUGAAGAAGUCUCAAGAACCACUUUGUGCACAAAGAUAAUAGAUAUAGCAAUCUUGCUAGAGGAUUUUAACACCUUGGAUAACAAAAUGCUCAUGGCGUUACAUCAUUUGAUUGUUUUAGAAAUAGUCAACAUUGCCAUCCAAUCAUUUUUUUGCUACAACUUCAUCUGUCAACUAAUUUGUUAAAUUCCUCUGGCAAAAUAGCAUAAUUCUAGAUAUGGGGACAAUGGACACCGUUGUCCAAGUCCUCUCAAUGGAACCGAUUGUCCAUGGUGGUCACCAUUAAUAAGAAAGAGAACCUUAAUGUGGUUAAGCAUUUUAAAAUCAGUUGUUUCCAUCGACUCGAUAACCCGAGUUCUUCCAUCACAUAUAUGAUGAAAUCCCACGUGACUCUAUCACACACUAUACUCAUGUCUAGCUUCAUAGCCAUGUACCUAAUCCUUAUAUUUGUCCGUCUUUUAAGCGAGUGCAUGAGUUCAAAACCCAAGAUGAUAUUAUAAGAAAUUAGCCGUACCAGGAUGAAAGCAAUCUCAUAUGGUGAAAUGAUAUUUGAAUGCAGAAACAGUUAGCAACAAUUUUUGAGAUCACUUCGAAGAUGACGUUACAUUAACUUAUAGGCCUCUACUUAUUGGUGCUUCUAGGAAAUUUAACCCAUCAGAAUAAGCGUCAUUACAUCACCUACUUAUCGUUUGGAAAUUCUAAUGAUUGAUGAUGAUUAAGAACACCCAAAUAGGAAGUGAUCGUGUGAUGGCCCAUUUUAUACUAGUCAAAAGUCAAGCUUUUGUUCAAAGGCAAAGAUUCAACUUGUCAAAGUCAAAGUCAAAGUCAAAGUCAAAUGGAACUAAAAUUGAAUAAAUUAUUUUAUUGAGGCAUAUUUUAUAAUGAAAAAUAUUUCGAGGGUUUAAGAUGGAUAAAAUUUAUAAUUGGGGAUUUAUUUUCCUAUUUUUGUAAGUUAAUGAUUUAAUGUUAUAGUAUAUGAAAGUUGGAGGACUUAAUUUUAAAUGUUGGUAUUACUGGACUACAAUUGUCAUUUGUAUAACUCAUUUCCUCCAUUUUAUGUAUACACACAGAAAGCUGAGGAACUGAUAUAGAGGGUAGAAAACAGUGAAAAGAAAAGAGGAGAGAGGAGAAAGAAAAGCAGAAAGAAAUCAAUUGUGCGUGUUUCUUUUCUCGAAAAUCAAUUGUGGAAUUGGUAAUCUGGUGUUAUUAUAGAUAGGUGGCUUGGAUUUUCAACAAAAGUUUUGUUUGUCAUUAUCAUAUAAUCGAAGUUAAUGCUCCACCAAAUCUUAAUUUUAUUACGUGCAAUUCCUAUUUCUAAACAGUGGAGGUCCCAUGGAUCGCCGGUGGGAAAGAUCCAGUUUUUUGGGGAACUGAAGAGUGGCAAUUACAGAUUGAGCCCCCAAACUUUGUAAAAUGUACUGCUUAAAAUCCCUAUUUAAGCUUUCUCGGCAUUUGCGUCCUGACAUCAAGCCCAUGUUGGAUUUAGCUAAAAAAUAAAUAGAUUUUUAAUAAAAGUUAGUAAAAUUUAUUGAUCCCGUAAAAUAUGUUAUUGAAAAUAAGUUUAAAAAAACGAAUUAUAGAGUGUGUGGAUCAAACAAGUCUAAAUUUGGUAUACAAAUUCAUUCAUUUUUCUAUUAAAGUGAUAUUAUUUACACAAUCCUUUUACUGGAGGGAUUAUUACGGUAGGGAUGUUAAAUAUAUGAAAGUCCAGCUCAAGGUUGUAGCUAAAUCGAGUCAACUAGAUUGAACUUUAUGGCUAAAAAAAAACUGACCUGACACAGUCACACAGACCGCUAUAAUAGACAGACCAACUUGUGCAUAGGUCCAAUUUAAGUACCCGUAGCAUAGCCAUCCAUUUUGGCAAACACCAUAUUAUGGAAUAAAACAAUAUUAUCUAACAUUAGUCUAGGUGACCGUAAUUUUUAUGUUUAUUUAAAUGAGUUAUGUGGCUUUGCAAUUAAUAGAACCUAUUAUUUAAUACCAUGUAAUUGUUAUAUAAACUGGUGCUUAACACCAAUGCAUAUGAAUUGCAUUACUCUAUAGUAUAACAUCUUCAUUUCACUCCAAAAAAAAAAAAAAAAAAAAAAAAAAAAAAAAAAAAAAAAAAAAAAAAAAAAAAAAGGUAAGAAAAUACAAAGAAAAGAAAAUAAAUCAGGAUGUUGCUUAAAUAAAAUGAUUGAGCUCCAAAUUGGUGUUUUGCUUGAGAUUCGAGAUCUCAAUAACAAUAUUCACUUUCAUUAAUAAUGUUAUCCUUUAAAAAUAUGAUUGAUGAAUUACAUUUUUUUAUUGGUUAAUACUAGUAGUCAGUCAUCACCAUUGGUUGGGAAUUACAAUAAAAUUAUGUGGUUUCUAAAAUAUCCUAUACUUCUUUAGCAAUCUCACACACUUUCCUAAAUUCUUUGGGGGAAAUAGUCAUAAAAAAGGCAUGCAAGGCUUUACUAUUCUAAUUGCAUCUAUCCAAUUCAACCUUAGACCAAUUCUCUAUGGGGGUGAAAGUGACAACACCAUCUACUAUGUACUUAGAGAUAAACCAACCAUUCACAAACACUCAACCAAAUCCGCUCAUCCACAGAUUUCAAAAAUGUUCUCAUUCUCACUUUUCAAUAAGCAUAAUUAUUCCCGUCAAAAUGGGGUGGCACACUCAACGAAGUACUCAUCUAGACUAUGUAAGGUCAGGACACAAACUCAGGCUCUGAUACCACUUCAAAGAAAUCUGAAACGUUCUAAUACCACUUCAACUUUUAGAUUUAUGGAGUUUACAUUCUAGAUUACCAAUUUAUUUCGACCUUACGUGCGAAAUUAUACUAACCAAAGCAACACGUCGCUUUAAUUAAUUUCUAGAUGGUUAAACAUACAAUUCAAUUUAAUCUAAAGUUUAAGUGCUGCAAUUAUAAUAUUGUAGAAAGUAAUAAAUAACACAAGAUAUGAUGAUGAAGAAAUCCCAAUGUGGGUAAAACUCUAGGACCAAACUAGUUACCUUCACUAUAGACAAUUCAGAUAAUACAAUAACAAGCCUAUCCUUGGACCCGUUAAGAUCAAUGUAGUUGUAUGUAAACCCAGAGCAAUAGCAUGAUGAACCAAAAAGUAUCCAGGACCUAUUGUCAAGAGUAAUGAAUUACUGUUUUCAUUAACAGCAUUUAGAUUUGAACCCAUGACCUCAAGGUUAUAAGCCUUGCUAGCUACCAAACUGCUCUACCCCGCACUGAAGAGAAGAAGUGAAAACUAAUAGACAAACAAGAAUUGAAUGUGCCUCUCUACCGCUGCCGCAGCCUUAUGAUCUACUUCCAUAGACACAUCUAGCACUAGAACUUCUGACCUACCUCCUGCAACCUCCUACUGUCGUAGAUUCUUCUAGCCUCCUGUUAAACCUCCAAGUCUACCUCCUGAAGCCUAAUCUGCUGUCUCCUACAGUCUCUUAGUCUGUACUGAAUGUCUCUCCAAAAUGGACCACCAAGAACUGCCUAUUAUUGUGCUUGUAGUUGCGCUUCAAUCCACCUCUCUCAAUCCCCCAAUGAGAGAGUUCCUUCCUCAAAAGAUUAAGAAAGACGGGUGUCUUGGAUUAUCGGACCUUUGAUGUUUUCCCCAAUAUGUGGUUGUUGGAUCUCAAGAAUAAAUAAAAUGAAUCAAUGCUUGGACAUGCUCUUGGAUCUUCAAAAAGAUGAUAUGAAUAUGUUUACUAAGAGAGACACAAUGAACAACCACUCAAAAUUUGUGCUAGGGCUUAGGUAUUUAUAUUUGAAGAUGUUUUGGUGGUAUGUGCUGAGUAAAACACUUAAAAACUCGAACUAAGGGUUUUGCCACAUAAGAAUGUCGUUGGAGCAAAGAUAUAGAGAGCAUUGAUCGAGAGCCAUUCUAUUUUUUCGUUCGAGCGAAAAGCCAAUGAGAAUCAAACGACAGCUAAACAGUCAUCAAUAUUUUCACCAUAACUUUAUCCCUCCGAUGUCUGAUUGAGGUGAUUCAACUUGCGUUGGAAAGAUAACUUAAAGGGAUACAAUUAUUUAGAACUUUGUCCAAAUUCUAAUGUUUUCUUUGUUAAAAAUGUAUUGCAAGUAACAACUGAGAAUUUGGAACAUAACUUGUACGUCUCUUUGAUAUCCUUUAGAUUUUUAAUUGCAUUCCGAUGGUCAUAUGUGAUAUUCUUGGACAUCUUGGACUCCUUCAAUGACUCGAACACUAAUUUACCUCAUCUAUUAAAAAUUGAAACUAAGUCAUUGACUUUUACAAGUGAUCAAUUUAGUCCCAUUUGUUCACAGAAUUGUCAAUUACAAUAUUGGUCCUAACAGUAGUCUAUUGAUAUUAUAUUUCGUAUUUGUAUAAUGUUGAUAUCAUAUUUUGAUUUUGCUAGCUCAAUAUAUUUUUCAGUUUAUUGAUAUAAUAUUUUGAUAGAUUCUAUCUUGAUUGUUGCAUGUAAAAUUUUAUCAAUUUUCAUGUACUUUUGUACUUGGUAUUGUUUGAGUUGAUUUAUUUCAUGAUACAUGCAUGACAAAACAAUUGAGACGCAAUUCUACUUUCGAGUAAUUGAGUUGAUAUGCAUUAGGUUGUGUUCAUUAUUUAAUUAUGACAUAAACGAAUUUGUCACGGAAAGUCAACGGGAGAGUUUUUUAGGUCUACAGUGUGUUAGCAAAAAUUUGUGUCCAAAAUGUCAUUUUAUCGAGUUGUAUUUAGGGUUAAAUAGUCAAGUGUUAGGAGUAUCUUUGAAAAGGAUCAAAAUCAACUCAAUAAGACUAAGUCAUGGCAAAAAAUGCUCGAAAUUGCCAAGUGAGCUGCUCAAGUAGUUUUAGCCGGAGUUGACCUCUUGCUUGACGUCCAAGGGUGAUCAAGAGGGUUGUGUCAUUCGGGCAAAACCUAGUUCGCGAUUUUUACCCUUAUAACUAUCUAAUACUAUAUAUACCGAGUCAAAUUUCGUCCCAAAAGAGUGUUGAGCCAUUAUUCAUUAAAGAGAACAUCCCGUUGUAAAUCAAACAUUGAUUCUAUAUUUCUCUUGCAUUGACCAAAAGAUCAAACCAACGAAACACCAAAAGAUCAAAAAGACCAAUAAACCUCUAACAAAUAUCUUUUAGAGUUUUAUAGAUCUAGAGAAGUGACUGGGGUUAUGGUUUGUGAAGAACGAGUUCGUUCUUAGUGAUACACUUGAAGAAAAGAAUUUCAGAGGUUCUAAAGCUAGUGCUGGAGAACACAAUCGAGGAGUUCUUUGGUAAUUACAUAUUGGGGUCAAAGUGUACUAAGGUUUAGUUGUGUUUGAAACAGUAUUGUAAGUUCAAAUUUUCAAUUAAAUUAUUUCUCUUGAAGAAUUCUUCAAAAUUUUUCCUUCGUAAAUCAUUGUUUGCGUUCUUUAAUUUACAGCUUUGAUAUUUAUGCUUGAUUGAUUGCUAGGGUUUAAAUUGAUAUUAAUUCAUCUAGGACUAAUAAUUGUAACUUGUCGUAAGUUAUUAUUGGUUAAUUUUUAAUUCCGCAUAUUAUACCUAAUCACCUGUCUAGGUGUUUGUUGAGUCAAACCUAGUUUAUUGCAGUUGUCAUUUCAAUAAGAAUAAUCUGUACAAGGAAUUGAAGCUCAAUCCCUAAAUGUUAUAUGAAAAAGAAAAAAAAAAAAAAAAAAAAAAAAAAACUGCAGGUACAGGUCCCCUGUUGGAAUCUGUUGCAAUUUCCUGUACGUGUAGUGCAUCUCAUGUUAUAUGCCCAUAUACUAUCUCAUACUUCAUUGAUAUAUGGGAUUUUCUUCACACUUUCCCAAUAAUUCGAACUACCCACCUGCCGACUUCAUUUGCUCCAUAGAAUUAGUCCUAUCUAGAAAUUGUGUUAGCAUGCAUCAUGUCUGAGUAGACACUCUGGACCAAAAUUUCGUUCAGGAUGGUUUAGCAAUUUAUACUGGUAAUUUCGAUUUUAUUCUAGUUUUAUAUAUAAAUAGGAACCAUCAUUAUAGUUUUGUAAAUAUCAUUAACAGAAAGAUAUUGGAGAAAAAUAGGGUAUGCGAUCUUUCUCUUGCACACUACUUUUCAUUAAAGUAAAUUAUUGGCAGAAGAGGAUGUAAUCUCAGAUUGACGCGAGCCUCUAUAAAUUUUUUGUGUUCUUAUGUUUCCAUUUUCUUUCUACAAUUUUAUUUCUCUCGAUGAUAUAGAAUUAAAAUUUAUAAUUAUCUAUUAUAGCAACUUUUUAUCAGUUGUUUUUAGCUAGAGAAAAUCAGAUAACUGAUGUGUGGUCAAGACUUACUCUUUUUUUUUUUUUUUUUUUGGGUCAAGAUUUCUAGGCCUACAUAGCUUAGUCUUCAAAUUAAAAACGUGCACACAAUUGAGCUUUGUCUUUUUGGAUAAUGGGAAGCAAAUAAAAUUUCAUUUUGCAGUGUUUGUGUUGCACAAUGGUACUGGUGGUUCAGCUACGUACCUAAAUGCUUCAAUUUACUUUGUGGGAUAUUGAAGAAAAAAAUAUGCACAUUGCACUAAGGUAUAAAUUGUGUCCUGCACAUUAAAAUGUUUUAAGCGCUUUAAUAUGCUUGGGCAAGAAAUAUUUUCUCAUAAAGAACAAGAAAAAGACUACGAGAAGAGUUAAAUAAGUUGUAGCAGAAAAUGACCAACGUUUUAUUAUGGAUGGUUUAGAAAUUUACACUUGUAAUUUAGAUUUUAUUCUAAUUGUAUUUAUAAAUGGGGAACCAUCAUUGGAGUUUUGUAAUCAUCAUCAAAAGAAAUAUAUUAGAGAAAAUAGGGUAUGUGAUUUUUCUCUUAUACAUUUCUUUUCAUUAAAUUGAAUCAUCGGUAGAAGAGGAUGUAGUCUCACAUUGAGACAAGCCUCUAUAAAUUUUACGUGUUUUUGUGUGUCUAUUUUCAUUCUAAAAUUUUAUUUCCCUCGGUGAUAUAGAAUUAAAAUUUAUAAUUAUCAAUUAUUGUUUUUACCUAGCAAAAAGCAGAUAACUGAUGUGUGGUCAAGACUUUCUAGGCCUACAUAUCUUAGUCUUCAAAUUAAAAACGUGCACACAAUUGAGCUUUUUCAUUUUGCGGUGUUUGUGUCGCACAAUGGUACCGGUGGUCCAUCUACCUAAAUGCUUCAACUUACCUGUGGGAUACUGAAGAAAAAAAUAUGCACAUUGCACUAAAAUAUAAUUUUUGUCGUGCAUAUUAAAAUGUUUUAAGCUUUAAAACACAUGUGCAGGAAAUAUUUUUUCAUAAAGAACAAGAAAAAGACUACGAGAAGAGGUAAAUAAGUUGUUGCAGGAAAUGUUAGACCAAAUAAGCACUAUGAUUAAUUUCCCUAACUAUAAACCAAAUUAUCACUGACUUCGCUAUGAUAUUUAUGGUAUCCUCAAUGAAUUUUUACUUUUCUCAAAUGCAGUUACAAAAUAAAACCAUGUAUUCUUUUGUGUAGUUCAUUUUUUUUGUAUUGAUAUCGCUAGUAUAACUAUAUAUUUCUACUUAAAUUUUUCUCGAAUUAGUACAAAGUUUGUUGUGUCUUUAAAUAAAAAUGUAGUUGAAGUAGCAUUAAUAUGUUUAGCACUUUCAAAACCUUCUUUUCUUUUCUCGUUGUAUUGUUCCGGAGGUAAGGCAAACACGCCUCCAACCCCUCUUGUACUUGACUUGUUUAUUUAUGAGAAGACACGGUCAAAGAAUCGAAAUUCCCAUUGGAUCUAUGUGGAGGCCUAGAAAUACUGUCUAGGCAUUAAUAGUACUUUGAUUCAGCAAUAAAAUAAAUGGGUAACGACAACAAUUGAACUCAGCAACCUUUGAUAUUAUGUUGAACUAUCAUAUUUAAAAGCUUAAGUUAUUCAAAAUUAAUCUCAUUUAUUUAACUAAAUUAAACCUCCGAUUGGCCACCAUUCUCAUUCUCAUUCUUUUUCUCUCUCUUAUUUUUAACCACACAAUCUUCCAUAAAAUAAUUUUACACGCAAAUAAAAAAAAUUUCAUUAUUUUUCAACCACACAUUUAAAAAAAAAAAUAUUAUUUCAACCAUUAAAACUUGGAAAGAAUGCGCCAAACGGGGGCUAAGUUUUCAACAACAUUUUAGCUUGUUUGAUCUCCAUUUUUUUCGAAAUAUAUAUUUUCUCUUUUCUUUUCAACCACUCAUUUUUCAAUAAAAUAAUAUUACACGCAACCCAAAAACUUUUCCUUCAAUUUAACCACACAUUCUCCAUCAAUUUACUAUUUCAAAAUACAUUCUACACUAAAAAUGGGGCUCGAAUAUAAUGUCAAGACUUUAGAAGUGUUAUCGAGGUCCUAUUUGAGCCGCAUUCUUUUAAAAAAUAUAUUCUUAAACAGUAAUUAAACAUUAUUUCAUCCACACAUUAUUCAAUAAAAUAAUAUUAUACGCAAAUUCAAAAUUUUUUCUCAUUUUUUAACCACAUUUUUCAUUAAUCUACUAUUUCAAAAUAUAUUCUUUCAAAAUAAUGUGCUUCAAACACACUGAUUAUACCUCAUCCCCAAAUUUCAAGACUAAAAAUAAGCAAAGCUUACACAAGUUUCAAUAAGAGACUCAUGUCCACCUGUCAUUACACUUAAAUGUUACUAAGGGAAAGAGUAAUUCCCCGCCCCACCCUCAAUAAAUCCUUCUGAUAGAAGGGAUAUUAGAGAAAACUAAUAUAGGUAUGAAUACCCCAUAUGUAACGAUCUAGGCCUCGUGCCCAAUUCGUUGUAUUAUACAUAUUAUCCGCUCUCUUACUUAAUUUGAAAUGUUAAGGGUUCGAAUCAUGGUACACGAUAGAAUUUCUAAAGGGUAAGAUGAGUUUAGAAUUUUUCAAAUUGAUCAGUAUGUAUGAUAUAACGACUUGGACACGAAGCCUGGGUCAUUAAAAUGCGUGUUUUUUUUUUUGUAUUUUUUUUUGUUUUUUGUAAUGACUCAGUUCCUGUACUCAUACCUUGCUGUUAACUUACGUACUGUUCAUUUUGGAAGAGUUUGAGUCCAUCUUACCCUUCACAAAUUUCUAUGGCAUCCUCAUGAUUUAAACCCUUUACUUUUUCAUAAGAAUGACUUACGUACUGUUCAUUCUGGAAGAGUUAAAUUCAGAUACUAAAUAGAAAAGUGUGCUUAAGUACGAAAUGCAAAUUCUAGAAAUUGUAUUCUUGGCAGCCGAAUAAUUUGGAUGUGGGAUCCAGCUAGAAUGCGAUCGCAAGCUUCAUCAUGCAAAUUUGCUUUUUAUAUUUAAAUCAUAAGACAUUUGAUCUUCAUCAUUUUCGAAAAUAGCAAGCAAAUAAUUUUUUGUCGUACAGACAAUGAUGUAUAGCCGUGUAUGUUUUUCAAGUGGAACUAUUGGUCCAAUCCGACUAAAUGCUAAAAUUUAGUGUGAGUGAUUUUCAAAUUUUUUUGACAUUGCACUAAAAUAUAUACAUUCACAAUUGAUAUAUCCAAUUCCCAAUGAACAUGUUAUAUUUGCUGUCAAAAAUAUUUUUCACUAUAUGCAAAUGGGAAAAAAAUAAAUAAAUAAAAUAAAAUAAAAAAUUGGAAAUUACUUUCUGUAUAUUUUGAAGAAGUUAAAUGGGUGUAUCUGGGAUACGGCUGGAAUCCGACACUGAAGGAGUAAAUUAGAAGGGUUCUAGCAGUUCUAUGUUGUAUUUUUCAUUUAUUAACGGUUAAAAAAAAAUAAAAUUAGUUCAACAUUCCUUUGGCAUUUUAUACAAAUGGAUUUAUAAAUUUUCAAUAUUUCAAAGUAAUGAAAACGUGGUCUAAAUUAUCUUGGCCUACGUACUCCUGAUAUCCUAGUAUUACAAAUACCCUUCAAAGGAACUUGUAAAUUCAAACAAGACCAUUGAAGUGAGAAGCAUUUCUUCGAUUUACUGUCCAAAUUUCAAGAGUGAAAUACAGAAAUGGACAUCCAAAUCCAUGCAUCUGCUGCCCCAUUUUUCACCAAAAAUAUGAUCAUUCAGGGAUACUCAUCGCUCUGUCACGUAUCAUCCUAUCAUUUGGAGAGAUUAUUUCCUUGCGUAUACUUCUUGUAAAUGUUAUGCCCUAAAUCCAAUCGAUUUAAGUUGUAAACACUUUUAAUAUGCUUAAUGCAUUAAUUUUUGACAAGAUCUAUUAUUAUUUAAAUUAAUAUUCUGAUGAAUAAUGUUAAAUAAUAGAAUCUAAAGAUUCAAGUUUAAGUAAUUUGUUAAUCACAAAGAGUUGUGAUUGUUAAAUGUAAAUUACAUAUGAUUGGAUUUUUAAUUAUCCAUGGCCAUAAGUAAUAACAAGAUAUGAAUAUUGUUUUUACAUAUAGACCAUCACGUGUGACAUUUCUUACUUGUGAAGUAAAUAGCUGAUCUCACAAUCUAAAAUGUGGAGACACUUAAAUGAACGCGUGGAUGUUUUGUUAUAGAACAAAACAUUGGAGACCCGCUAAAAGAUUCUACAUAGAUAACUAUUUGAGUUUCAGUGGUAAUCUCUAACGAUCGAUAGUGAAAUUGGUCCUUUGACUUGAGGUCAUCAUAGUGCCUUGUAUCACAACAGUCAUACUCGCGGUGUUGGAUGUUUCUCUACCAAGGGCCGCUAAUACGACAUAGUUCGGGUAUGUUAAGAAUUAUAUGAAGGUUAUAAAUGACCAAUAGAUGAUUUGUCAUUUUUAGAUAGUAAGAUAUUAUGAUCUGCAUUUCAUUCAAUUAAGUCGAUAACGAAAUCCUUGGCCAAUAUAUACUCAAAAAUUGAAAAAGAGUUUUCGACCUAUAUAGACUUAGUAGUGGAAUAAAAGAUAUGAUCGAUGAUUGAAAUCGACACACUUCCAUAUCUCGUAGUUGAUUGGAUCAUAUUGACGAUGGGAUUAUAGUUUCACGAUAAACAAACAAGUUUGGUAUUGUUAUACCACGUGACAUUUUCCGUCACAUGUAUUAUCCUAACACAUUGCUAGAUAUCAAUUUGAGACGGCGAGUGUGAACUAGUGAUAAAUUAAAAGGGUAUUUUAAUUUAUCUAUUUUGGUUAGAUCAAAAUAAUAUUUCACGUCGUUAGGCAUCAUGAUCGGGAACCUAACGGAUCACACACAAAAAGGGAAUUGGAAUAUUGUAAUUUGUCAAUUAAUUAAUUUAACAAUCAUUAGAUAAAUUAAUUAAUUGGGUUGGUUAUUUAUAGGCCCGAAUUAAUUAAAUUAAUUAAUUCAUAGACCAGAAUUAAUUAAAUAAAUUAACUAAAUAUUGGAUCGGGUCAGGUCAAGCCCGUUUGGGUUUAUAUAAAUACAUGGCUAGGAUUUUUAAUUUGUAGAGAUUCUCAUAAUUCUUUGCUAGCACAAGAGAAGAAAACCUCGAUGACUACAAUAUGUUCUCUGUGUAGAAUUCCAUUGGAGGCUGGAUAGGACAGCUGUUAGGUUGCUAGGCAGCGCCGAAGUGAAUAAAAGAAAAAAAAUUAGGGUUUGGGGAGAGUUGAAGUGGGAGGCCUUUCAUGCAAUUUAUGAAAUUGCAGGUCCCCACAUGUAAAUUGUUUUGGGGAGUUGUCCUGCAAAUUUUAAAUAAAGGACUUGUCACGUAAAUUGCAUAGUUGAGGGGCCUGUUUUUAAUUCUGACUUGGGUCAAAUUGCAAUUGUUAAAAUGGGUUUUAAAUUUGAAUUCUAAAUGGGUUUUUAAAUUAUAAUUUUAAUUGAGUUUGACACAUAUUUGUAUUUGGGCCCAAAAUUAAUAAUUUAUUUAAAAUUGACAACUUUUAUAUUUUUGUUAAAAUUAGAUUUUAACUUAAAUAUUUAAUUUUAACCCUAAAUUGAAUUUUUUUUUAUUUAGGAGUUUUGUCCUAAAUUAAAAUAUUAAUUCAAUUUAAUUAGAAUUUGGACUCUAAUCUUAUGUUAAUUAAAAUUUGAUUUUAAUUAAUAUUACUUCCCCCACACAAAUAUUGAAAUUAGAGUAGGACUCUAACUUAAUAAUUACUUAAAAUUUGAUUUUAAUUAAAUUAUCACACCCUAAGCAAGCAAAUAAUUUUUUGUCGUACAGACAAUGAUGUAUAGCCGUGUAUGUUUUUCAAGUGGAACUAUUGGUCCAAUCCGACUAAAUGCUAAAAUUUAGUGUGAGUGAUUUUCAAAUUUUUUUGACAUUGCACUAAAAUAUAUACAUUCACAAUUGAUAUAUCCAAUUCCCAAUGAACAUGUUAUAUUUGCUGUCAAAAAUAUUUUUCACUAUAUGCAAAUGGGAAAAAAAUAAAUAAAUAAAAUAAAAUAAAAAAUUGGAAAUUACUUUCUGUAUAUUUUGAAGAAGUUAAAUGGGUGUAUCUGGGAUGCGGCUGGAAUCCGACACUGAAGGAGUAAAUUAGAAGGGUUCUAGCAGUUCUAUGUUGUAUUUUUCAUUUAUUAACGGUUAAAAAAAAAUAAAAUUAGUUCAACAUUCCUUUGGCAUUUUAUACAAAUGGAUUUAUAAAUUUUCAAUAUUUCAAAGUAAUGAAAACGUGGUCUAAAUUAUCUUGGCCUACGUACUCCUGAUAUCCUAGUAUUACAAAUACCCUUCAAAGGAACUUGUAAAUUCAAACAAGACCAUUGAAGUGAGAAGCAUUUCUUCGAUUUACUGUCCAAAUUUCAAGAGUGAAAUACAGAAAUGGACAUCCAAAUCCAUGCAUCUGCUGCCCCAUUUUUCACCAAAAAUAUGAUCAUUCAGGGAUACUCAUCGCUCUGUCACGUAUCAUCCUAUCAUUUGGAGAGAUUAUUUCCUUGCGUAUACUUCUUGUAAAUGUUAUGCCCUAAAUCCAAUCGAUUUAAGUUGUAAACACUUUUAAUAUGCUUAAUGCAUUAAUUUUUGACAAGAUCUAUUAUUAUUUAAAUUAAUAUUCUGAUGAAUAAUGUUAAAUAAUAGAAUCUAAAGAUUCAAGUUUAAGUAAUUUGUUAAUCACAAAGAGUUGUGAUUGUUAAAUGUAAAUUACAUAUGAUUGGAUUUUUAAUUAUCCAUGGCCAUAAGUAAUAACAAGAUAUGAAUAUUGUUUUUACAUAUAGACCAUCACGUGUGACAUUUCUUACUUGUGAAGUAAAUAGCUGAUCUCACAAUCUAAAAUGUGGAGACACUUAAAUGAACGCGUGGAUGUUUUGUUAUAGAACAAAACAUUGGAGACCCGCUAAAAGAUUCUACAUAGAUAACUAUUUGAGUUUCAGUGGUAAUCUCUAACGAUCGAUAGUGAAAUUGGUCCUUUGACUUGAGGUCAUCAUAGUGCCUUGUAUCACAACAGUCAUACUCGCGGUGUUGGAUGUUUCUCUACCAAGGGCCGCUAAUACGACAUAGUUCGGGUAUGUUAAGAAUUAUAUGAAGGUUAUAAAUGACCAAUAGAUGAUUUGUCAUUUUUAGAUAGUAAGAUAUUAUGAUCUGCAUUUCAUUCAAUUAAGUCGAUAACGAAAUCCUUGGCCAAUAUAUACUCAAAAAUUGAAAAAGAGUUUUCGACCUAUAUAGACUUAGUAGUGGAAUAAAAGAUAUGAUCGAUGAUUGAAAUCGACACACUUCCAUAUCUCGUAGUUGAUUGGAUCAUAUUGACGAUGGGAUUAUAGUUUCACGAUAAACAAACAAGUUUGGUAUUGUUAUACCACGUGACAUUUUCCGUCACAUGUAUUAUCCUAACACAUUGCUAGAUAUCAAUUUGAGACGGCGAGUGUGAACUAGUGAUAAAUUAAAAGGGUAUUUUAAUUUAUCUAUUUUGGUUAGAUCAAAAUAAUAUUUCACGUCGUUAGGCAUCAUGAUCGGGAACCUAACGGAUCACACACAAAAAGGGAAUUGGAAUAUUGUAAUUUGUCAAUUAAUUAAUUUAACAAUCAUUAGAUAAAUUAAUUAAUUGGGUUGGUUAUUUAUAGGCCCGAAUUAAUUAAAUUAAUUAAUUCAUAGACCAGAAUUAAUUAAAUAAAUUAACUAAAUAUUGGAUCGGGUCAGGUCAAGCCCGUUUGGGUUUAUAUAAAUACAUGGCUAGGAUUUUUAAUUUGUAGAGAUUCUCAUAAUUCUUUGCUAGCACAAGAGAAGAAAACCUCGAUGGCUACAAUAUGUUCUCUGUGUAGAAUUCCAUUGGAGGCUGGAUAGGACAGCUGUUAGGUUGCUAGGCAGCGCCGAAGUGAAUAAAAGAAAAAAAAUUAGGGUUUGGGGAGAGUUGAAGUGGGAGGCCUUUCAUGCAAUUUAUGAAAUUGCAGGUCCCCACAUGUAAAUUGUUUUGGGGAGUUGUCCUGCAAAUUUUAAAUAAAGGACUUGUCACGUAAAUUGCAUAGUUGAGGGGCCUGUUUUUAAUUCUGACUUGGGUCAAAUUGCAAUUGUUAAAAUGUGUUUUAAAUUUGAAUUCUAAAUGGGUUUUUAAAUUAUAAUUUUAAUUGAGUUUGACACAUAUUUGUAUUUGGGCCCAAAAUUAAUAAUUUAUUUAAAAUUGACAACUUUUAUAUUUUUGUUAAAAUUAGAUUUUAACUUAAAUAUUUAAUUUUAACCCUAAAUUGAAUUUUUUUUUAUUUAGGAGUUUUGUCCUAAAUUAAAAUAUUAAUUCAAUUUAAUUAGAAUUUGGACUCUAAUCUUAUGUUAAUUAAAAUUUGAUUUUAAUUAAUAUUACUUCCCCCACACAAAUAUUGAAAUUAGAGUAGGACUCUAACUUAAUAAUUACUUAAAAUUUGAUUUUAAUUAAAUUAUCACACCCUAAUUUUUUAUAGAAUUAGAGUUGGACUCUAAUCAAGAAUUUAAUUAAAAUUUGAUUUUAAUUAAAUAACUUCCCCCUAUGAUCAUGGAAUUAGAGUUGGACUCUAAUCCGAAAUUUAAUUAAAAUUUGAUUUUAAUUAAAUAGGCCCGCCAAUUAAGUUAAUUAGUUAAUAUGAUUAAUUAAUUAUUUAAUUAUUUCGAUCCAUUUAUUUAAAUGAGUUUUGACGACUAUAAUUGCUAGAUUCCUGAGACAUUGCAUAUAAUAUUAGAUAUUAUAUAGGAAACAUUUAUGUGAUGAAUGUCUAUUUAUAGAUGAUUAUGGACUCGACCAUGUGGAUGUGUUAAAUGAUUGAUUUAGUUCUUGUCGUUUUACGGGUCUACGAGCUCUUAAUUGUUUUGAACUUGCGAGUCCGUUAAUAUUAUUGUUGUUAUGGGGCUUGCGAGCUCAAUAUUAUUUUUGGACUUGCAAGUUCGUUGUUGUUGUUAUUAUUAUGGUCAUGCGAGUCCAAUUUCAUUUAGGUCUGCAUGCCAACUAGUAUAGGAUACAUGUUGCAGCUAGACUAAUUGAAGGAGCAAGAAAAUGAGAAAAUCAUGUAGAUGGUGCAUUGAUAUUAAUUCGAUGAUAUACCUCCUAGGAAUUGACCAAUUAGUUUUCCUCUUGGCUCAGGAAAAUUAGAUAAAAUAAGUACAUAAUCAUCCAUACUAUUAUUUGUAUAUUUAUUUGCAUAGUUGAUGCAUGAUUAUAUGUAUGAGACCACUGCAUGUUAAAUCCCUCGUUAAAAUAUUAAGUUGGUAUUAUUUGCCUUCCGUCAUUAUAGUAAAAAACGAGAAUCCUAAAUCGAUCUCAGCUUGUUGAGUACACUCAAGUUUGAUCUAUUAUGGAUAUGUUUGAAACUAUGAAAUAUUUGAUAUUUCUGAAUGAUUGACUUAACUAAAAUUUAUCUUUUUUUGAGUACACUCGUUUUAGAGGCAUGUUAAACUAACAUAUUAGUUGUGUGAAGACAAGGAGUUGUCGGUUUAAUGAUUGGGGAGUUGUAUGGAAAUACAAUUAAUAAUAGUAUCUAUCCAAAUGUUUUAUUAAGAUUUGUUGAGUACACUUAAAAUCUUGACGUAAUAGAUGGGAUCCUAGCCUACUGGGAAUCAAAUGAUGAAUUCAUUUUAAACAUUGGGAGCACGUUUAAUAAAAUUCCAUAUUAAAUUUGUUCAAUGCAUUACAAUAUAUAUUAAUUCUUUAUUUUUCGUCAUUAACAGUUUUCGAAUCAUGAGUAAUCAUAUGAAUUUGAGAGGCAUACUAGAUGCCAACAAACUGACCAUACCAAAUUUUUUUGAUUGGCACUGCAAUUUGAGAAUCAUUCUCAAGUAUGAGAAAAUUGGGUAUGUCCUUGAGCAGCUCCUUCUAGAGUUAUCUACUGAAAACUCCAUUAAGAAAGACGUGCUCCUGAAUUUUGCAAAAUUAGACUUCAACAUAGUGCAGAAGAUCCACCAGAAAGAGUUCAGUGACAUUACAAGGUUAGUUUGUUAUGUGAAGCUUCACUCGGUAUAUUAGUAAAAUUUAUUUACUUUCAGAUGUGAAUUGCAGGUGGUGGAAGGCUUUAGAGUUUGGAAAAAAAUUGCCUUUUGCAAGAGAUAGGCUGGUGGAAUGCUACUUUUGGAUAUUAUGUGUCUACUAUGAGCCCCAAUACUCUCUAGCAAGGAAAAUUCUGACCAAAGUGAUGGCCAUGACUUCUAUUAUUGAUGACACCUAUGAUGUUUAUGGGACCCUAGAUUAACUUAAACUUUUCACAGAUGCAAUUGAAAUGUGAGUUUUGAGUUAUUCUUUGUGUCUUAAUAUCUAAUAACAUAUUUAUUCAUAGUGAAAUAUAUAAUUCAAAUAAAUUCCGAUUUGAUAUUGAAUAUUUUUGUGAGCAGGUGGGAUUUUAGUGCCGUAGAUCAGUAACCAUCGUACAUGAAAUACUUUUACAAAUCUCUUCUAGAUGUUUAUCUUGAAGCUGAGAAAGAGUUAGGAAAGAUAGGAAAAUCGUAUCGUGUUCUCUACUCAAUUGAUGAGGUAAUCAAUAUUAAUAAAGUUGCUAGAAUUUAAGGACAAUUACAUCCAAUUAAUAGUAUCUAAUCACAAUUUCAAUUUAUAGAUGAAAAAAUUAGUCCGUGCAUAUUUCGAAGAGGCAAAAUGGACUUACAACAGAUAUACUCCAACACUUGAAGAGUAUAUGAGAGUCGCACUAGAAUCUAGGGGUCGCGUGAUGCUAUCUACAACAGCUUUGGUAGGUAUAGGAGAACUGGUAACUAAGGAAGCCUUUGAUUGGAUUUCAAGUGAACCAUUAUCAGUUCAUGCUUCAUCAAUAAUUUGGAGACUAAUGGACGAUAUGGUAAGUCAUGGGGUAAGAAGUUUGAAUUCUUAUAAAUUGAUUUUCUUUAAAUUACACAAGUUUAUUAGAUGGGGUUUUUUUUUUCUUAUGCCCGUCAACAUAUGAGAAAAAUGAAUAGCCUGCUUAGCAUUAGAUUUACAAGUUUUGGGUUGUGUUACUUUUAUGCAGUUUGAGCAAAAAAUAACGGCUGUUGAAUGUUACAUAAAAGAGAAAGGGGCUUCAAAAGAAGAUGCAUUUGCUGUAUUUCAAAUGCAAGUCAUGAACGCGUGGAAGGAUAUAAACCAAGAAUGCCUUAAUUCAGAUGCAGUACCAAUGGCUGUUCUUGUACAAGUAGUACAUCUUACACGUGUCAUCAAUCUUCUAUACAAAGACAGUGAUGGAUACACAAAUUCUAAAACAAAGUUCAAAGAUUUCAUAACGUCGAUACUCAUUCAACCAGCAACAAUGUCCAACUGAACAUAGUUGUGGUGCAGACUUUCAUUCUAGUGUAUCACCUUAUUGUCAUCCAUAUUUAGUGCUAUCUUCUCAAAUUCUACGACUCAAUUAGGUCUUAAUUAAGGUUAUCCAAACGUUGAAUUUCCUCGUAUGGAAUCGAACGUUAUAUCUACUGGAAAGCCCUUUGAGUAGUUAAAAACUUUGUAUUUGUUUUGUUCAAUGUUCUAAAUAAUGAUACUAAUGUUGAAAUUUUCUUACGAAUAAUUAGAACUGGAAGCUAUGUUGCGAUUCAUUGAUAUUCAACUACUUACAUACAAAAUACAGGACAAAUCUUAUAUGAAAAUCCAUGAUUCUACGAGCUAUAAAUGCUGAAUCAAAUCUAUAAAAUGUUUGCUAUUUAUAUAGAUUAGAUGCAGAUUACUCUAGCAAUAUUGAUUUGCUUAAUUCUGGUGAUUGAUUGCUUCACUACCACCAUUAAUGGGAUCAUUGUCUUCAUCAUUAUUGAAUGCUUCAUUACCAAUAUUUUUGUGAUCAUUUCCGUGGAACUAACAAAGCAGAAUGGAUAAGGAUAUCUCGCUCACUACCUUCUUGUUUCAUCCAAUUAGGGAUGUCAAUUGGGCAGAGCCGGUUCGGCUCGUCAAAGCUCGGCUCGUGGGCUGCUCGGGCUCGUCAAAUGAUGAGCCCGAGCCCGAGCUCGAGCUGAGCAGGGGGUCGCGUCCAACGAGCCGAGCCGAGCCGCUCGGCUCGUCGAUCUCGAGCGGCUCAUGGGCCGAGCCCACAAGCCGGCUCGUCUAAAAAAGUGGAAAAAAAUAAAAUUUUAUCAAUAAAAUUUGCAAAAAAAAAAAUAAUAAAAAAUAAAUUCACGAGCUCGCGAGCCGCUCGUGGGCUCGACUCGACCCACAAGCCUGUGGCUCGUGAGUACACGAGCUCAUGGGCAGAGCCGAGCUCGCCCACGAGCAACGAGCCGAGCCCGAACCAAGCUCGUGGGUUAACCAACCGAGCCGGCUCGACUCGGCCCACUGCCAUCCCUACAUCCAAUGUCUACAGUGAAGAAUUAGUUAUGGCGUAGGAGUGGAAAAAUGUGUGGUCUGAAAUUUAAGACAUUAGUUGGAGAAAGUAUAGACAAUGAAUUUGACACGCAAUACCAUGCACAUGGUUACAACAGCAAGAUUGUUGUUAGUUUUUAUAUUGAAAUCACUGUUCAUUUUCUGUCCAAAUUCAAAGACUAAAAGUAAAUGAAUAUUUACAUUCCUUCAUGCUUUCCACAAAAAAUAUAUGGGAAAUGAGAAUACACGAUGUUCUGUCACAUAUCAUUCAACCGUUUCACAAUAUUUCAUUGCAUAUACUCUAGACCCCAUAAUAUAAUUAAUUAGUCCCUUUCUCUGGAAAUAAUGCAUUGCUCUAGAUACAAUAUUUAGGCAUUUAAUUAAUUUCUACAAAAACUGUAUUUUGAUGCACCACAAAUUUAUUUACAGCAGCAGUCCUAAGCGGUUAGUAUUUUAUAGAACAAAAAUAGUUAAAAGCUUAAAAUUAAUAAUAUUUAAAAAUAGAUGACAAAUUAGAAAAUUAUAGACAUCCCUUGAAAUUUGAAAAUAGUGACUAUUACAAAUACAGCCUCUCCAUUUUAAAAAAAUUUGAAAAACCUCCAACAAGGUUUUCAUUACAUAUUCUCCCUGUCAACAAAAAGCAAAAAUAUAUUUUUUGUUUAAUCCCUUUGCAUUGUACUAUUUUGAAAUUCUUAUUACAUACAAUUAAACUAUUUUUCCAUUAUUUCUUUAAAUUUCUUAAAAUACCUUACAUACUAUUAUUAGCCUUAGUUAAAAGAAUAUCAUUAUGAAUUGUGAUAAUAUCUUAAAAGAUUUUAAAAUACAAUUUACUUUCUAAAAACAUUAUAUGUUUUGGCUAAUAUGAUUGACGAAUAUUUAAAAAAUGAAAAUAAAAACAUGUUAUAGAAUAAUAUAAUAAAGAAAGAAAAUAAUUUUUAAAUAUUUUAUAUUUCUUGAUUUAGUAGCAUUUUCUAUAAUUUUUACUCAUUUAUACUCUUAAAAUUUAAACUACACUUAGAAAAUCAAACUAAUAAUAUCAUAAUAAAGUUGGCAUUAAAGAUUUGUAGUUUCUUUUUAAGCCAAUAUUUUAGAUCUAUUUUUUAUUUAUUCAUUUUUAAAAUGAGAAAUCAAUUUUCAUUAGAGAUUUUUAUUAUUUACUUUAAUCAUAAGCAAGUGAGUAAUGUUAUUCGUGGUCGCUUACUACGACAGUCAAUCUACGUGUUAUAUACAUAGUUGGUGAUUAUUUAAUGCAUUGUCAUGUGUAUGUUACAUAAGAUGACUGUUGUAGUGAGUGACUGUGAAUUGCAUUAUUCUAAGUAUGAUUUUGUAUUUAUGGAUCUCAACCUCAAAAGAUGGACAUAUGCAAGGACUUUUAUUCAAUUGAUACUUAGUUUUUAUUGUAUAUUGAUUUAUUUAGGAGAAACUAGAUGUUGUAUGGCACAUGAAGAAAUGAGGCAGAAAUUGAAUGAUAAGGACUAAGAAGAAACAAUUUGUGGAAAUUUGGGACUGAGGUAUAAAUAUUCGAUGAAGGACCAACAAUGUAAAUAGGAAGUGACUCGAGCUGAAUCGAUAGGAAAACUUAGUGACUAACCUGAAUCGGAAGAGAAAUGGAUGCACCUUGCAAUUGCAAGGCUCUAUCUAUGUGAUCAGAAGUUUUACCAAGUUCAAGAAUAUUAUCAUACGAUCACAAUCAACGUUACCCUGCUAUCGUGUUGAUUUCAAUCACGUGGUUUUACAAGGUAGCAAAGAUUUUAUUUCUUAAUUUAAAUCAAGUUCUACAUGGAAUGGGAUUAGAGCACAAAUUUCACCUAAUUCUAGAGGCUACAAAGACAAUUAUUCAUCUAGCAAAAGGGGAAGAGAGUUUUGAGGGAGACAAAAACAUACAUUCUAUACAUUUUAACCAUCAAGAGCUUUGUUCCAAGCAAGAGAGAACUGGGAUUUCUUGAGCACUCUAUUGAAGACAUUGAAAUAGACAAAAUUUGAUCCUGAAAUUUCUUCUUGCAAUUACAUAUUCUGGGUUAUAAAUUCUCAAUUUAUUAUGAAUGUUUGUAAUUUAAGCAUGAUAGGCUAAAUCUUUAGUAGUUCUCAAUUUGUUUUGUAAAAUGUUCUAAAUAAUGAUAUUAAUGUGUGGUCAGAAAUUUGAGACAUUAGUUUUGUCUUUAUGAUAGUUGGAAAGCAAGUAUAGCCAUUGAAUUUAAAAUGCAAUAUCCUAUACAUGGUCACAACAGCACUUGUUUUUUUAACUUGAAUAAACUGAAAUAAAUCACCAUCAACACAAACUUCCAUUUUUAAAAAAAGUAAGAUUGAUGCUGUUUUUAUAUUAAAAACACAUUUCAUUUUCUGAUCGAAUUCUAAGACUAAAAGUAGGUAUUUGUAUUCAAAACACAGUCCAUUUUCUAUCCAUAUUCUAAGACUAAAAGUCAAUUAAAAGAAUAUGGAAUGAACAUUUAAAUUCCUCCAUCGACUGCUCCCAUAAUUUCCAUAAAUGUGGCAUGGAGAUUCCAUGGUGUUCUGUCACAUAUCAUUCAUGUAAGUGUUAUACUCUAGGUCCAAACAACUUUGGACAUAAACAUUUUUAAUAUAUAAUUGAUGCAAUUUUAUGGUAGAUCUAUUUUUAAUUAAUAUUAAAAUAAAUUAAAUAAAUGAGUCCGUAGAUUCAAAUCUUGAUAAUUUGUUAUUCACAAAGAGGUAUGAUUGUGACAUACAAAUUAUAUAUGAUUGAAUCUUAAAUCAAUCAUGGUCAUAAGUAAUAACGAGUUAUAGAUAUCGUUAUUACGAACAGACCAUCACGUGUGNAGACCCGCUAGGAGAUUUCAUAUAAGUAACUAUUUGAGUGUUAAUGGUUAAUCUUUAAUGUUUGGUAAUGGAAUUGAUCAUUUAACUUGAGAUCAUCAUAAUACCUUAUAUAAGGACAGUCAUACUUUGGUGAUGUUGGAUGUUGCUCUACCAAGAGUCGCUAAUACGUCAUCGUUCUAGUAUGUCAAGAAUCAUAUGAAGGUUGUGAAUAAUCAAUAGAGGAUUCGUCACUCUUCGAUAGUAAGAGAUUAUGAUCUAAAUUUCAUUCAAUUAAGUUGAUAAAAAAAUCCUCGGCCAAGAUGUACUAAUAAGUCGAAAAAGAGUUUUCGACUUAUAUUGACUUAAUAUUGGAAUGAAAAAUAUGAUUGAUAAUUGAGAUUGACACGUAUCCAUAUCUCGUAAUUGAUCGAAUCACAUUAACGAAUGGAUAAUAGAUUCACAGUAAAUGAAUAAAUUUGGUUUUGUCAUACCACGUGACAUUUUUCCUUCACAUAUAUUCUUCUGACGCGAUGUUAAUCAGGGACGAUGAAUGUGAAUUUGUGAUAAAUUAAAAAGGGGUAUUUUGACUAAUUCAAAAUAAUAAUUCAUAUCGUUAGGAAUCGUAAUUGAAAACCUAAUAGAUUACACACAAAAGGAGAACUAGAAGAACAAGAUUUAUCAAUUAAUUAAUUGACAAGUGUCAGAUAAUAAAUUAAUUGGAAACAAAAUGGGUUACAUACAAAAGAAUAACUAGAAGAAUGAGAUUUACCAAUUAAUUAAUUGACAAGAAUGAGAUUAAUUAAUUCAUGGACCCGAUUUAAUUAAUUGGAUUAAUUAAAUAUUUAACGGGGUUAAAUUUAAGAGACAGGCCAAUCCCGUUUGAACUUAUAUAAAUAAUUUGUUAUGGUUUGAAGACUGUAGAUAGAAAAUUUAAUAUUUUUGCUAGCACAAGAAAAUUAAAAAUCCUCAUUCUCUUAAUUUUGUUCUCUGUGUAGAUUUUCAUUGAAAGCUGCACAAUUUGACAGCUGUGGAUUGCAGAUCGUAAUUGUUGGAUUUCAAGAAAAGCAAAUAAUUUUGCAGAAUUCAAUAAAGGUAUGAUUUCUAUCACAGUUUCUAUCUAAAUAUAAAGCAAAUCUUUGGUGAGAAUUGAAAUUUUGUUUAAAUUCUACAGUGCAUGAUUAAGUAAAUUCCCAAUAAUGGUAUCAGAACCUAUUUUGUAUUUGUUAGAAGCUUUUUUGCAUCUUGGAGUAGUCAAAAGUUGAUUGUUCAUAUUUUUCUUGUUUUUAGCAAUUAAAUUUUAAAAAUAAAAAAAAAGUAAAAAAAUUGGAUGAGGCUAGCGACAAAAGUUGCCACCGACGAGACGAUAAGGGAACGCGCGCGACACAGCGCAGCUAUUGCUUGCUAACACCACGGAGCACUACAGCAGCAAUGACGGUCGUUGCCACUAUCAUCAACAGCAGUGCCGAUUGCUUGUUGCUUCAGGGCGCGGAGUUGCAACAACAAACCUGCACAUUGCCGUUAGUGCAAGUACCAUUGCUGUCUACGACGCCCAGGUUGGUUGAAAGAGGAAGCGUCGGCAAUCCACCAAGAAAAGAAGAAGGAUUAGGGUUUUCAAUUCUAGGGUAUGCUAAUCUGGUCAGCAAUUUGGAAGUAGGGCCUCACGUGCAAUUUAUGAAAUUGCGAGGGGCCUUCUGCAAUAUUUGAUUCUGGUGUCAAUGUGCAAUUAUUAAAUAAGGGGCCUUUAUAAAAUUUUAGAAAUUUUGAGGGCCCUAUUAAUAAUUUUAAAAUGGGCCAGUUUGCAAUUUUCAAAAAGGAGUUUUGAAUUUAAAUAUUAAAAUGAUUUUAAAUUUGAUUUUGAAUAAGUUUUAACCUGUAUUGUUAAUUUUUACUCAAAUUAAAAUUUUAUUUAAAAUUGAGGACUUUUAUAUUUUCGUUAAAAUUGGAUUUUAACUUAAAUAUAAAACUUUGUUCCCAAAUUGAAUUUUACUUCAUUUAUGAGCUUUAUCCUAAAUUAAAAUCUUAAUUCAAUUUAAUUAGGCUCUAAUUUAGUAUAUAAUUAAAUUUUGAUUUUAAUUAAAAUUUUCACCCUAAUAUAUUCUUGGAAUUGAGUUGGACUCUAAUUAGAUAUUUAAUUAAAAUUUAAUUUUAAUUAAAUAAAACCCACUUAAGUAUCUUGAAAUUAGAGUUGGACUCUAAUUUGACAUUUAAUUAGAAUUUCAUUUUAAUUAAGUUGUCUCGCCCUAAAUUUUUCCUUGAAAUUAGAUUCGGACUCUAAUUUGGUAUUUAAUUAAAAUUUAAUUUUUAUUAAAUAGGUCGCCUUAAAUCUUGGAAUUAUAGUUGGACUCUAAUUUUUCUAUUUAAUUAAAAUUUGAUUUUGGUUAAAUUUAACCGCCUUAAGUUUUGAAAUUAGAGUUGAAUCUAAUUUGAUAUUUGAUUAAAAUUUGAUUUUAAUUAAAUAGUCUCGCCCUAUAAUAGUGGAAUUAGAGUUAGACUCUAAUUUCGUAUAUAUGAUUAAAAUUUGAUAUUAAUUAAAUUAAUUGAUUGAUUAAUUAUUUAAUUGUUCUGAUCCAUUUGUCGAAACUAGUUUGGACGACCUUAACUGCUAGAAACUUAAAACAUGUUUGCCUAUAAUAUUAGAUAUUAUAUAGGAAAGCAUUUAUACCAUAUUUGUUUUAUUAGUGAAUAAUUAUGGACUCGACCAUGUGACUGUGUUGAAUGAUUAGUUUUAUUCUUGUUGUUUUAUGGCCUUAUGAGCUCUUAUUUAUUUUGGACCUAUGAGUCCGUUGUGAUUUUGUGAGCCUGUAAGUCUAAUUAUUUAGGCCUGCGUGCCAACUAGUAUGGAUAUAGAUUGCAACUAGACUAAUUGAAGAAACAAGAAGAGAAGGAGACCAUAGAGAUGGAGCAUUGUAUGAAUCAAUGCAAUACUCCUUGGAAAAUCGACCAACUAGUCUUUUUUUAUGGUUCAGGAAGACUAGAUAGUAAAAGUUCAUGAUCAUUAUUUGCAUAUUAGAUGUAUGUGUGUGUGUAUUAUGAUGAGACAUUUGCAUGCAAAACCCCUCAUUAAAUAUUAAGUCAAAUUAUUAUCCGCUUUCCAUCAUUAUAGUGAAAAACAAGAGUCCUAAAUCAUCUCAACUUAUUGAGUACAUUCAAGACUGGUCUAUUAGGGAUAUGUUUGGCAUUGUAAUAUUAGAUGUUUUUUAAUGAUGGAUUUGACUUAACUAAAAAAAAAAACUUGUUAAGUACACUCCAGGAAAUGAAUUUUUAACAAAAAAAAUAAUUUUAGAGGCAUAUUAAGCUAAUAUAUAAGGUAUGUGAAGACAAAGAGUUGUCAGCUUAAUGAUCUAGAAGUUGUAUGGAAAUACAAUUGAUAAUAGUAUUUAUCCAAAUGUUUUAUUAAGAUUUGUUGAGUACACUUAAUAUUUUAAUAUAACAAAUGGGAUCCCAAGCCACUGAAAGUCAAGUAUAGAUUUUAUGAAUCUAUGCAAGAGGGUCAUAAAUUUGAGUUAAACAUUUAGAGCAUAAUUAGUUUGAUAAAAGGCCAUGUUAAAUUAAUUUAUACAUUUAAUGUAUUAUUCUUUUACUUUUCGUCAUUUAUAUUUAUUGAAUCAUGAGUAACCAUGUGUAUUUAAGUGGCAUACUAGAUGCUAACAACCAAAUUAAAUUUGCUUGACUGGCACCGCAAUCUAAGAAUUGUUCUCAAGCAUAACAAAAUUGGUUGUGUUCUUGAGUAGCUCUUUCCAUAGACACCUGCUAACGACUUGUUUAAAGAAGAGGUUGCUACUAUAAUUAAUAAAGUGGUGACGAUAGUACUGCAAUAUGUGUGAUGCUUGUAUUAUGUCACAUGCGUCACAAAAGCAACAUGAUGGUAUAGAUGAUAACACAUGAUUUUUAUCUAAAAGAGUUGUAUGAUAAAUAAACGCGUGUGGAAGGAUACGAGACUUCCAAAUAACUAUACCGGUGCAAAAUAACAGAGGAAUCUUCAGUUAGUACUCAUGUAUUAAAUAUGAUUGACAUUGAGAAGUUGUCUCAAUUAAGUUCAAUCGUGAACCAUGAACCAAGUAUUAACUUAGUUCUGUCAUAUUCGCCAACGAGUUAUUCAUAACUAAUUAUGAAUUUUGAUAUGAAUAAACUUGAGUACACACUUAUUGAGUUGCUAAAUAUGCUUAAAACAGUUGAGUCCAAUAUCAAAGUUGGGCAAGUCAUUGAUUCCUCUAAGAAUUGUAAGAGAAAGUCUAAAGGAUGCUUUAGGCAAGCAUCCAAGAUGGCUAAGAUGGUCAAAGUAAAGAAUGACAAUAUCAAAUCUAAUUAUACUUAUUACCAUUAUAGAAUGAAAGGUCAUCGGAAGAAAGAUUACUAGGCAUAUGUUUACUUCCUGUAUGUUGAAGAUUAGCAAAAGUUACUAUAUUGCAUGUAUGAGCAUACUUUUGCCAUUUUCUUUAUGCUUAGUAUUAGAAUUAGAGAAAUAUUAUUUUGUUCUCAUCGUUACCAAGAAUAUUAUUUGAAUUUCAUGUUUGGACAUGAAUUGCUCUAAUACUGAGGACAAUUGUUGCUCCUUUUGAUCUUGAUAAGAUCUUAAUGGUUAUGGUAAAUUACAAAGUAACAUUUAUAUUCUAAAUAUUAUUUAUUUUAUAAUAAGUAUGGAAAUUGAAAGACAUAAAAAUGAUAAUCUGAAUAACACCUAUAUAUGACAUUGUAGACUUGGUCACAUAAAUGAAAAUACAAUUUCAAAAUUGCAUAGAGAUGUAUAUUUGAGGUCAAUUGAUUUUGAUUCAUUUGACAUGUACGAAUCAUGCUUGUUAGGCAAAUGAUCAAAUAUUUUUUUACUUGAAAAGGAAAAUGUCUACAUAAUUGCUGGCCUAAUACAUAGUGAUGUAUAGGGACCCAUAUCAAUUAAUACUAGAUGAGGUUUCUCUUCUUUCUUCACAUUUGUUUGCAAUUAUUUCAGAAAUGGUUAUGUAUACUUGAUGAAAUCAAGCAUGAAGCUCUUGAAAGGUUUAAGGGAUUCAAGUUAGAAGUAAAGAAAUAAUUAGAUAAAAUACAUCCUCACACUAAAAUUCAAUCGAGGUGAGAUAUUUUAAAGAUGAAAUUUUAGAUUAUCUAAAAGGGAAUGAGAUUAUCUUGCAUUGAACUACUCCAUAUACACUGCAAUAUAAAUGGUGUAUCUGAAAGGAAUAAUCUAAACUAUUAAAUAUAGUGCGAUUAAUAACAAGCCAUACAAACCUCACAAAAUUGUUUUGGAGUCAUGCAUUGAUUACAAUGUGCUACAUACUAAAUCGUAAACUUUUAGAUAUAGUGUGAUUAAUAACAAACCAUGCAAACCUUUCAAAAUUGUUUUGGGGUCAUGCAUUGAUUACAGUGUGCUACAUACUAAAUCGUGUCCCAUCUAUAUCGGUUUGCAUUUUCUGCCUCAUUUUUGCAUUUUUUUUUUGGUCUACAAAUGUUGCAAUUUCUCAAACAGUUUCUUCAUACCUUUCGACAUUGUUCCAAAAUUUCGUAUACCACUCAAUAGUAUUAUAAAUUUGCAAUUGGUCUUACUUUUGUCAUUUGUUUGCAAUUAUUGUUUCAACUUCUCUCUACUAUCCAGUCUCCUACCCUUUAUAGCCUUUUGUCUUCUACUUUCUACAAAAUUUCUAAUGGAUUAUAGAGGAUGGAACCCCAGUUAGGAUCUUCAUAUAAGUAUUUCUAAAUUAAAACCUUAUAAAUAGGUCUCCUUGUAGUUCUGUAGAGUUUAAAACUCCACAGGGACUAUGGACUAGAAAACCACCAAAUCUAUCAUAUUUAAGAGUCUUUGGAUAUGCUGCAUAUGUACAUCAGAUUGAGGGGAAAUUAGACCCAAGGGCUACCAAGUGUGUUAUGCUUGGAUACCCUGAAGGGGUUAACGGGUACAGGUUAUGGAUACUUGGUAUUAAGGGAAUAAAGAUCAUUAACAACAGAAAUGUGGUGUUUAAUGAGAUUGAGAUGCCUUGCUUGAAGAAUAAAAUGGAUAAAUUAGAUAUGGCUGAAAAGGGUACUUCCCAAAAUGAGGUGCAGUUGGCAAGAUUAAGUAAUAACAAAUCUGAUAUAACUGAACCAGAACCUGUACAGGCUAGUGAAAGUGUAGAAAACACUGAUGAAGGUGAAGUUAAUCCACCCCAAACUGAAGCUGAAACAAAAUCUAAAAUGUGGCAUCUAGCAACCCGGGAAAUGAAGCUAGUACCCAAGAUUAUCAAUUGGUGAGAAAUAGGAAAAUGAGACAGAUUAAACCUAACCCUAGGUAUGAAAUGAAUAAUCUAACUGAAUUUGCCCAUAUCUGGUGAAAACUUAGAACAUUCUGAAACCCUAAGUUAUGAAGAAGCAAUGAAUAGUUCUAAGUUAAAAGAAUGGAAAGAAGCAAUGAAAAAGGAAAUGAAAUCCCUUCUUGAAAAUAAAACAUGGAAAUUUGUAAAGAAGCUAAAGAAUCAAAGAGUGGUUCAAUGUAAGUAGAUCUUUAAGUUGAAAGAAGGGAUUUCAGAAUUUGAUCAUUUGAGGUAUAAGGUAAGGCUUGUAGCCAAAGGGUUCACUCAAAGGGAGGGAGUUGAUUACAAUGAAAUUUUUUCACCUAUAAUUAAAUAUAAAACUAUAAGACUCAUUUUGGCUCUAGUUGUUUGAUUUGAUUGGGAACUUGAACAAUUAUACGUGAAAAUUGCCUUUUUACAUGGGAAAUUGGAAAAGGACAUUUACAUGUGUCAACCACAAGGUUUUGAAGAAAAUGAGAAAUCUGAUUUUGUUUGUAAAUUGCAAAAAUCUUUGUAUGAACUCAAAUAAAGUCCAAGACAGUGGUAUAUAAGGUUUGAUACAUAUGUUUUGAAAUUUGGUUUUAGAGGGAGUAAAUAUGACCAUUAUUUAUACUAUAAUAAUCUAAAACUGGCAUUGAAACAUAUCUACUACUCUAUGUAGACGAUAUGUUUCUGGCCAGCCCUAGUAAAGCUGAAAUAAUAAGGCUGAAAAAUCUAUUAAGGUUUUGACAUGAAGGACUUGAAAAAUGUCAAGAAAAUUUUAGGGAUGGUGAUAAAUCGAAAUAGGCAAGAAAAUAUGCUAACUAUAUCACAAGAACCCUACCUUGAAGUUUGGCAUGAAAGAAGUUAAGUCUGUCAAUGUCCCCCUUGUUGCUCAUAUGAAUCUCUCAUCUGCCCAGUGUCCUAAAAUUGAAUAUGAGAUUAAAGAUAUGACAAAUAUUCCAUAUGCCAGUGCUAUUGGAUCUGUUAUGUUUUCCAUGAUUACAACAUGGCCAGAUCUUGCAUAUUCAAUCAAUUUUUUAAGUAGGUUUAUGGCAAACCUUGGGAAACUGCAUUGGGUUGGGUUAAAGUGGCUACUUAGAUACAUAGUUGGGAUACUAAAUGAAGGAUUGAUGUUCAAAAAGGGAUCAAAACCAUUAACUCUUAAAGGUUAUGUGGAUUUUGAUUUUGUUGGAGAUAAAUAUCAAAGAAAGUCAACAACUACCUUCUUUUUUACAUUUUGUGAUAACUAUAUUACUUGGAAGUUUCAACUUCAAUCAAUUGUAACUUUGUCCAGCACUGAAGUUGAAUAUGUGGCAAUUACUGAACGUGUAAAAAAAUGCAUAUGGCUUAAAGGGAUCUUGACUGAACUGAAUUUUUUGAAUACUCUACUCGUAAUAUUAACUGAUAGUCAAAGUGCUCUACUUUUAAGCAAAAAUCCAGUCUAUCAUGAAAGUCAAAACACAUUGAGGUGAAGUAUCAUUUCAUAAGAGAAAAAUUCUCAUCUGGCGAAAUAGUUAUUGAGAAAAUUCAUACUGACUUUAACCCUACUAAUAUGGAGACUAAAAUAUUGCUUGUUAAUAAAUUCAGAUCUUGUUUAUCAUUGCUUAAUAUUGAUACAGGUUGAUUUUUGUGCAGGUAGUAGGGCGAUGAUGUAGGGUAUGGUUUCGUCACUAGCAUUAUAGCAACAAGAGAGGAAGUGCACGGUUUGAGAACCAAGGUGAAGAAUUGUGGAGUUGUGUUUCUCAAACUACACUUGCAUAAGUGAAAAUGUGAUUUGUCCCACUUGUACUCCUAUGGACAGUUGGCACUUGGGCAUUGGCUAAUAAAUGGUCAUUCGAGUUGUGCUUUCUCUUGGCUAUUGUGGACCGUUGAUCUAAUCCUAAAGCUGAGAUUUAAUCUUCCAUUAUUAAUGCCUUUGGAGACUUUUAAGGCAUUGAGUCUUCAAUCAGUCCAACACUUUUGAAGAAUAGUCUCUCGGGUUUUCUCUCUCUUGCUCUAUCGCCUCUGUUCUUCCUUUCUUCUUAGAUCUGGAGAUCUUUGGUAGUUUUGUAAUAAUCUUUGUAGUUAUCUGAUGCUGGUAGAACGUUUGUACAGUUUUUUAGACCUUGAUUAUGGCUGGCAAACUUGUAUUGUGUUCUCUGCAAGAUUCUAUCUAGUCUUGUGGGCUAAGAUUCGAGUUAUUGAGAGAUCCUUGUGGAUUGAUGACCAUAUAGUUGGUUUGAUUUGGUUUUCUCAACUGUUCGUACACUCUCUUGAAGGUCUCUUUCUAGUGACGGGCUUACCUUGGAGCCCCCCAGAUUAGGCUGUGUUUGGCUGAAUUGAGUGAACAAUCUGUGUGUUUGAUUUCUGUUCUUGGCGUUCCUUUUUUUUUUUUUUUUUUUUUCACUAUUGCUUGUGGGGUUUUACAGAUCCGGUUCUGGGUUGGCCAAUAAAUACGCCACCAUCCCACCGCAAAUUUAACAUCGUUGAUCGUCACUUGUCACCACGUUUACAACCAGAUCUGCACCAUUUUCUCCUAUUUUGGAUCGACUGGACGUUCUAGGUGUUGACUAAAUGGACUUGGAUGAAAUAGUGGCAUACUUUUGCUCAAACCAAAGUGACUCAAUAUCUGCUUUCUCGCUCCGUGAAACACAAAGCUGCAGUUCCAUAAUUCAAAUUUGAAUUUCAUGCUAUAUGUUUUUAAAUUUCAAUCUCAAUCGUUAUUUUUAUUUUAUUUUAUUUUAUUUUUGUUUUUCCUAAAUGGCUGGGUUAGACUUCAAAAAUUGCAAAUUCUGCUUGUAACUUUUUCCUGUGCUAACGCCAUACUUGAAAUUAAUUUGAAGUGAGUGUUACAUAUUUAUUGUAUAAGUAUAAAACGCGAAAGAAAUAAUCAAAUUAAAUAAAGUGCCCAAGUGAUGGGAAAUGUGAUAUUUGUGUGGGACGUUAGGGGUUCGGAUCACUCCCCACACAAUUAUUAAAAAGUCUUGAUUGCUCGUGGGCUUCCUUGACUAAAAUAAAAAUUUUUAUUAUUAGUUUAUUUAUUUUCGAAAUUAUUUAAUGGGUCAAAUUAGCCAAUAUUUUCUGACCAUUUUUUGUAACAAUUCACUACUCACAGUCAUUAAAAUACCCACUACUCAUAGCCAUUAAUAUUCUGCAAUUAUUCUCUAGUCAUGGAGAAGACGAUUACUUCCAAUUUCGCCUAUAUAAACUCAUGUCUUUAUUUGGGAAAGAGACACAUCAAAGAAAUCAGAAAAUCAUUUGAAAAGAAAUCUUAUUUUUCAUCCUCUGAAUUUUUAUUCUCGGUUUUUACAUAUAUUCUGGAAUACCUUUGAGAGUUCUGAAAAUCAUUCGUGAUUGCUGCACAAGUGGUUUACGAUCGUUGUAUCCUGGGAGUAAUUGUCCACGGAUGUCGCAACAGUUAUCGACGAGCAAUUUCACUUUAGGACAUCGUGCUGUCACGAGGCUCGAUCGGACGAUAAGUUUUAUAUUUCUGCAUUUUAUUAUUCUAAAUGUUGCUGCAACUAAUUGUUUUUCCAACAGUAAGUUCGAAUGAUUUGAUUCGGAUGGUGUUGGUUGAGAUCGGAGAAAUCGAACCUAAUAAUUGGAGAUGGGAUGUGAUGGCGGUAGCGGAAGGUUGCAGUAAUGGUUGGAAACUGUUUUGGAUGGGAUUGUGUUAAGAGUUUGGAUUAGCAAUAACAUGAGUAAAACAAGCAACGUAUCUUACUCUCAUAUAAAAAAUAUUUAAUAGAGUAAUAUAUAAAAGUAACCCAGUAACAUACAUAUUACUCGCGUGAAAUGUGAUUUGUAACAUGUAAUAAAAAAUGUAGAUUUGAAAUUUUGAUUUUAAUACAAAAGUAACACAGUACGUUAAAUUUUGUGAACCAAAGUAACAUGGUAUUUUUAUUUUUAUUUUUAUUUUUAUUUUUAUUUUUUGGUGAUGGUUUUUUUUUGGGGGGGGGGGGGGGGGUACAUAAACACAAAAAUUUAAAACGGGGAUAUUUUUAAAAGAUGUCUAAAUUUUUUACUGUGGAUUAAAUACUUAAGAUCAUCUUGUACCUUUAAAUUUAAAGUAUGAGAAACAAUGAACAAAUGGAAAAGUUAGGCAUCAAAAUCAGGAUGAAAUAUGUUAAUCAAUAUUUCUAUGACGUUAUUAUUAGCACUUGCAUUUUCAAAAGUGAAAACUAUGAGUUUAUGUUCAUUAAAGAAGGCCAUGAAAAUAUUGACAAUAUUUUGUGAAUAAUGUGGAUACUCAAUGACCUUAAAUGCAAAGAUCAUUUUACGUAUAAUCCACAACUUACUAAUUGUAAUGGUUGUCGCACAAAUAUAUGUUUAUGGUUUCUCUCGCAGCCCAUCAAGCGGUUGGUUUGUUCCACGUGGAUGUUAAUAUUUCAGCUUCAAAUUGAGGUGCCACAUAAUAAUUAUUAGGUUUAGAUUUUGAUAGUUAAAACCCAUUUGAAACCAAACAAAACUAUUUGCCCCAAUUUUUAUUUUUUAUUCAGCCGUGCAUAGAGCUUCUGCCCAAAACCCUUUUGCAAGCCCAGAACUGAUCAAUAUAAAUCUUACCUUAUUCAUGAGAGUUCUAUUCAUUCUCUCAACAACCCCAUUUUGUUGGGGUGUGUUCUUAAUAGUUCUAUGUCUAAUUAUUCCCUUUUGCUUGCAAAAAGUAUCGAAUUCAACAUUGCAAAAUUUCAGCCCAUUAUCUAUCCUUAAGGUUUUUAAUUUCUUGUCCAAUUGGUUCUUCACCAUCUUUAACCACAAUCUGAAUUUUUGAAAAGUUUCAAUUUUGGAUUUCAAAGGAUACGUCCAGACCUUUCUAGAAUAAUCAUCAAUUAUGGAAAGAAAAUAUUUAUUUCCACCAAAGGUUGGGUGGUUUUCUGGCCCUCAUAAAUCUGCAUGGAUAUAGUCUAAUGGUCUAUUCGUCGUGUGAUCCAGUCUCAAAACUCACUCUAUGAGAUUUCCCUAACACACAUGUUUCACAAAAAUCAAAGGGUUCUACUUUAUCUUUUCCAAACAAAAUCUGGUCAUUAAAAUUCUUUUAGCCCUUAUUUCCAAUAUGACCCAUUCUACAAUGCCACAAUUCAUAUUUGCACUCACUUAUAGUUAAAGAUCUUGAGUCCUGGGAAUUAACAGUUUUUCCCAUUAAGUAGUAUAGCACAUUCCUUUUGGGCCCCUUCAUGAUUAUAAGAGAUCCUUUCAAGAUUUUCAAUGUGUUAUUUUCAGAUUUAAAUGUAUGUCCCUCAUCUUCAAGAAUUCCUAAUGAAAUGAGGUUUCUUUUUAGAUUUGGGAUAUAUCUCACAUUUUCAAUCUGCCUGACAAUUCCAUCAUACAUUUUGACUGAAAUGUCACCAAUUCCAAGAAAAUUUUAUGAAUUGUUAUCACCCAUAUAUACUUUCCUAGGUUCUAUCUCCUUGAAGUUAUGAAACCAAAAUUUAUCUUGACACACGUGAAAGUACAUCCAGAGUCUAAAAUCCAGUCAGUGUAUAUUUCUUCAUUUGUCACAGUUAUUACAAGAAGGGUGUCAAGUUCAGAACUCACAACAACAUUAUUUAACUCAAUGUUGCUGGAUUCUUUUAGCUUUUUCUUUAACUCAAAGCAAUCUCUUUCGAAAUGUCCAAGUUUUCCACAGUGAUAGCAUUUUUUAUUGCUUUUGUCUCUUGAUUUAGAUCUGGUUUUUGAUUUGGACUUGAAUCUUUUAUUCUGUGAAUUAUUUUCCCUCUUCUCUGUUCUUCCUCUCACAAAUAAACUCUCAUCUCUUGAAUUUAGUUUAGAUUCUUUCUUGAUUUUCAAUUCCCUAAAUCUUAGGGCAUUUGUUAUGAUUGAUUGUGUUAAAGCAUCUCUAGUGUAUUUUAUAGCAUUUCUGAUAUCCUUAUAAAAAUUAGGUAAGGAGUUUAAAAGAAUCGCUGCAAGAUCCUCAUCUUCAAACUCUUUAUCAUUAGAGCAAAACUCUUCACCAGUAUACUAAAAUUACUCAAAUUGGUUUCAAGGUCUUUCCGAUCAUCCAUUUUAAAACUGAACAGUUCUUCUAGGAGAUAAAUUUUAUUUGAUAAAGUCUUGGUCAAAAAAAUUAUCUAAGGCUGUCCAUACUUGCCUUACUAUCUUAUCAAAUAAGUGUAGGAUAAUCGAGCUAUAAGCUAUUUUAUUCAUUUCAAGAAUCUCAUCAAAUCUGGCUUUAAGUUCGUCAGAAAAUUUAUCAGGGUCAUCCAGGGCUUUAGCAACCAUUUGUUGGACCAAUAUGGCCCUCAUUUUCUACUUACAGAUAGAGUAAUCCCCCUUUCCAUCAAAUUGUGAUAAUUCGACCUUCGAACCCAUCAUAGGUUCUGUAAAAGGGUGGUUACUGUUGGAAGCCAUGACAGACACCUCAAUUUUUGAUUACCAAAAUACUAAGAAACUUCCUAACAAAUUUAAAAUAAUGCAGAUCACUGAAUGAAAAACAACUAUCCUAACUUGCACAACUGAAGUAGUAUACACAAACAGUCAAUGUGUUGGGAAUUCAAAGAAUUACACAACAAAUAUAAAGAACUUUGUAUAAUACAUAAACAUGCUCCUAUUGUCAGAUUAAUUAUCAAUACAUAAUAUGCAAUGUCAGUAAUUAAUCCACAGUACAAUAGACAUGUAAUUUUGUGCACCAAAUUAUACAAGUUCUUUUA